UAUCUCACAGGUCAAAUUAACGAUUAUCCUAACCCUAAUUAUCACGACAAGGAUUUCAAAAUAACUAAAAAUCUAAUCCGAAUUCUUACGAAUCAAAUUAAUAAUUACAUUGAUUCAGCACUUAAAACACUAUCAACAAACCCCAAAAGUUAAUAUAAUUAAAAAAAAUGAUCCGACAUCUUACGGAUCAAAUUAAUAAUUACAAUAAUUUUAGGGAAGACCCUGUGGAUAAUGCCUAGAAAAUCCAUGAAAUAAAGAUCACUCCUAAACUUAAAAGAAAUAAAUAAAAUAAAGUAAAUAGAAAAAGAAAAUAAAACUACCUAAUUUCCCUUUCCUUUUCUUUUUUUGUUUUUCUUUUCUUGCUUUCUUCACCCACGGCCGAGCGGCUUCGGUGGAUCACCGGAGGUUGGGUUGUCGGCGUUCAGAGCUCCGGCAAAGCUGAGCCGCAAGUUGCAGACGAGUCGGGGGCGAGACCAAUGUUCUGGUGCAGCAGAUCAGGCUCUGAGCAGGGGCGUAGGCGGAGGCUAAGGGGGUCCGGCAACUGCUGCGAGCAAACGGCGGCAAGAGGGAGACAGCACGGUGGCGUCGGACUCCGGUGGUACUGCUGGGCGUCAGUGGUGGGGUCGUGAGCCGGAGCAGGCGGAUCUCGGGUAGAGUCGUCGUGACGACAGAUCGUCAGCCGAGUGGGGACUCGGAUGGCGAGGUCGCGAGCAACAGGUGGAUUGCUGGUCGACACGAAAGGGGCAGGUUGUGGCGAUGACCGAUUGGAUUGCGAACUGGCGGGUUGCAGAUGAGGCACUACGGAGCUCAGGGCAACGGUGUCAGGCGUCGCGGCUGCUGGUGUUGCGACAAGCGGCAGGCGCGGUGGACUUCGGCUACAGGGACGCCGAGGUGGAGGCGCAGGCAGGGACGCAGUAGGGGCUCAGCGAGGGAGGUCGGCACGGCGACAUCAGUGAGGGCGGUGGUGCGGCUGCAGGGAGGCGCGGAUGUCCGUCAGAACUUCGCGAGUCGUCGGGUGGAGCGGCGAAGCGUUCGAUUCGAUCCAGUCGUCUGCGCUUCCGCGUGCUCUAGGGCGGCGUUGGGCGGAUCUGUAACAUUCCGGGCCCCACUGUGUAAUAUUGUCAACUUUGGGUCAUCCGCCUGGCGUGGACGAACCGCCAUCCCAGCCACGGUCUUUUCCCUCACAGCUUUAAAACGCGUUACACAGGUAAGAGGGACCAAAGCCUUAUAAGCUGACCAAGACCUCCCUCUCUAGGCGAUGUGGGACAAGAGAAAAGGCUAUUACACUCUCCACCUCUUAACAGAACAGCGUCCUCGCUAUGGCCCCACGGACAUCAAAACUGCAUUCAAGCUGUGGUCCCACACGCAGUCGGGAGUCGGCUCUGAUACCACUUGUAACAUCCCGGGCCUCAUUGUGUAAUAUUGUCCGCUUUGGGUCACCUGCCCUGGCGCGGACGCACCGCCAUCCCAGCCACGGUCUUUUCGUCGCUGGUCCUCCUGGCUUGCGAUCUAGGUCACUUGAUCGGAGGCGGGGAGGAAUAGACGCAGAUCGGUGCUUAGCGAGAGGCAGACGCGGGGUCGUCGGCAGCAAACGGAAGGCGAAAUCGGGUCCGGCGGAUGGAGGGCAAAGCGGAGCCGGCGAGUGUGAGGGAGACGAUGAACAGUAAACGUCCCCUCACCUCUGCCUUUUUACUUUUAUCUUUUCCCUCUCUCUCUCUCUCACCUGUCUCUCUCACAUCACUUUCUCUGCACACUUCUCUCCCUUUCCUAUCCCAAAGAACCGAAACCCUCUUCCUUUGUCUCUCUCUUUUCACUUGACCUUUUUUUGUUUUCUUUUUUCGAUGAAGAGAAGCCCCCCUUCAAUUGAUCCGUACAUAUCCUUUUAUAGGCGAAACAAAAUAGGAUCUUUUUCGUUAAUAUUUUCAUCUCCCAAAUAUUGCUUAUAACCUUUUGAUCACAAAAAUCCUUAUCUCAAAAAUAUUCUCCCUCGAUUUCAUCAUCUAUUGAUAAAAAAAUAAGAUUACAAUGCGAUUUUUUUAAUUUCCAAAAAUCAUCAUAAUAUCGCAUCAAAUCUUAAUUUUUCACAAGAUAAUUAAUUAAACAUAACAACGGGCUUGGGUUAAUUUUCUCCUUUCAUGGGCCUAGCCCAGCCUGCUAAUUUAAAACCCAAAACCACUAAUUCGACCCAUCCACCACCGGUCCAGUAAAUACAAAUAAAAGAUAAAUGUACCUACAACUAAAUGCUAUGCAAUUAAUUAAUUAAUUAAUUAAUUAAUAUAUUUUUAGGGGUUAAAAUUAAUCCCUAAUUUCUUAAUGCAAUAAAUGACUAAACGGGUAGCCAAAAUUUAGGUGUCAACAGGGGGACACCGCAUUUGACCAAGAACGGUUUGGAUGCCAAAAAUGUGAGAUCCACGAGGAAUAAAAUGGUCAAAACAUUAUGAAAGGAAGUGAAUUGGUGACAAAAAGAGUGGAAAAAUUGCGGCCCACAAAAGAAUAUGUUGGUUGUAACGUUUAAUGGUAUGUAAUCAUAUAAAUUGGCAAGUGCAACAAAAAAUCAAAAUUAGGGACUAUCACGCAACGGUGUGAAAAUCGAACGGAAUAAUCCGUGAGUGCUUGGAAUUUCAACAGAAAAAACCUAUGCGUCGAGGCAGGAGAGAGUCUACUUCUCUAGUUGAAAGAAGCGCCAGGGCAAAUGGUUGUCAUAGACGAAUGGCCAGACGUUACUUUGUAGAAAACUCUAGCAAGAAGCUAUGGAGUUUCCUUUUCAGAUAUUAAAAUUGGUUAGAGUCCAUUUAUUUGAAAGAAAAUUAUAUUUCCAAAACAUUAUUUUCCGAUUUUUCGGUGUUUAGAUGCAUGAAAACCGAUCGAUCUACGGUAUACAAGUUUAGAUUUGAGGGAACACGGCUUUCCCUCGUUUUGAUUAGGGGCAAGUCGUGUUCCCCCAAAUCUAAGCUUGUUGCUUACAAUUCAUGAAUUUUUUUUUCAUAAAUUGAUUAGCUUUUUGUCUUCUAAACACUGAAAAGUCAGAAAACUGUUUUUCUUCCAAUAAAAGGGUCUUUAAGUUUGACCAGGGUUGCUUCCCUGAAGCUUCUCUGAAAAGGUAGAAUUUUGGGAUUAAGUUCGUAUAAUGUGAGGGAUGAGAUUUUGCUCUCCCUCUCUCGUUGAGUCAAUGGUCAAUCAUCGCAAGAUAAUGAUAUAGAUAUUCAAUUGGAACAAAAUUCAAGGGUUUUCUUUCACGUUAAUGUCGUGGUUGAGAUCGAUAGGUUGUGAUUUUCGUGCCAUAUCUAGAAUAAGUGAAAAAGUAAGUACAGGAUCAAAAUGCAAUUGUCCUGCAAACAAGGUCAAAAAAUUUUAUAAGCCGUGGAAUUUUUAUGUGAGGCCGUGCUCGUGUCAUGCCAAAUUCAAAUAAUUUUGCUUUAUUGUAUAAUAAUUCUUGUGUCAAAUUGGGAAUUGUCACCUUGAUCUUAAAUUUCUCUUGAAGACAUAAAAAAUAAGAGUUAAUGCACAAAAAACCCAAAUUAAUACACCUAUAAUUAGAUUCCAUUAAAUUUUACCACUAAAUUACUGCAUUAGAUGACACGUAGCAUAGCAAUUGACGAAUGUAUUUGUUUAGAGUUGGUUUUUCGUGGUAUUAAUCCAAUUUAAUGGAAAAUAACGAAGGUUAAAUUUGUCAUACAUAUACUAAUUUUGGGUUUUUGGUAAUAAAAAAAAUUAGUUUAGAGUAAAUUUGUUAUAAUUGUAUUGGUUUGAGAUUUUUCGUGAUAUUAACCUAAAAAUCAAAUAAGUUCAACUUCAAAUUGCAAGAGCUGGUGACUAAGUUAUUUACGAUAGAUAUUCAGAAAUUAGAAUGUUAUAUGCACCUAAUGAUACGAUCCUCUGAAUGAAGCAUAGAUAUAACACACUAAGAGCUCUCCAACAAAAAUAGGAUUAUACUCCCCACUGGGGCCAAACCUUAUGUGGUGUUUGAACUGAGCUAUUUAACUUUGAUUUCAACCUCUUGAUUGAACCUACUUUGAUUAAAAAAAAAAAUCAAAACAAUUCCGGCCAAAUGUUGAUAUGGUGGACACGUGACGAUAACGUGACAUCUUAGAUAGCGCCACAGCAUCUCUAAUAAAACAAAGUAAAGACCAAAACUGAAAAGAUAAAAUCUCUAACAUCUUGCCGCGCGUGUUGAAGCACUUUCAGAGAAAAGCAUCUUGAUGAUCUAAAGAAAGGUACCAAUGAGUCUGGCCAAAGAAAAAGUACCAAUGAGUCUCGCCGAAGGGAAAAAAGAAGUUAUGGGUGCUUAAUUUUGGUAUAGAUACAUAGAGUAUCUUCUAUAUAUAACUGGAAGAUAACCAAGUCGAAGCCAUGUUUCACAAGAAGUCUGUGACUUGUCUCUUCUUCCUCUUCCUUCUGCUUUCUGGCGAAUGGGCUUUGCUUCUUGGAGAGAAUUUCUAUCGACGUUUCAUCAUCCACUUCUUGUGAACUUUGAUUGCGCAAUUACACGAUGUACAAAAUGAACUAUUAGUAUGUUAUUGAGCUGCAACUCAUUUUAGUCUCAUAACCUCUAAGAAUUAUAAGCAGCAUGUCAUUCACUGGAAGCCAAAACUCAGUUUCACCCCUUAAACAUCUUGUACAAAAUGAAUAUGUAGGGUUAACAUCACUAAUGAUUCAAAUCAUGAAGGAGGUUGGAAAAAUGGACUAAUGAACAACAACUAUGAGUAGCAGAUGUAGAUCAUACAUUAAACAUCACUGAGGAUUGGGACCGGGAUAGGGAUAGGGAUUGGAAUGAGGAGGUCUGUAAUAAGCAUACACAGCAAAGAAAGACUGAAUUGUAGCAAGAGCAAGAAGUAUGAAUGCGGCUACAGCUGAUAUGAGAGACCACCGCGUGUUGAAGUAGGUGUUCUUAAAGCUGGCCCACUGCACCCGCCAGUCCUUCUCAUUAUAGGUGUUCACAUCUUGGAACACCUUGCAUAAAUAGUUCUUGUGGAUGUCAAACACGGCAUCUUUACCGAUGUUGCUGAAGAAAUGGGCAAUUUUCUCAUCCGUCCCAAAGUAUCUCUCAAUGAUCUUACGGUCGCACAGUAACCCGGCAUCUGCCGGUGUGUUAAGGAGGCAAGCCAUGAAAGUGGCAUAAGCUGUGACGUGCUUGGAGGAGCCCCUGUGGCACUGCUCAAAUGCAACGAAAUUGAGGAACAGACAACUCAUGAAGUCAUCGAAUUUUAGUACUGGAAUUUCCAGGACACCGUUGCUGAAUUUUAUGUCCAUGAAGCUUUCGCAAUUGGCCGGCUUGAACUUGAUGCCUGCCUGGCGGAGCUUAUUUGCGGGCUGGAUCAGGCGGAGAAACUUAUUUGGUCUCUGUCUUGUUUCUGGGGAAUCCGGGUUGUAAGUCAAACGGAGGAAAUUGAGCAGAUGUUCUCCUUCCCAAUUGGAGUACUUCUUCAAGACAUCGUCUGGUCUUUGAACCAUGCGGUUGAAGAAACUCAAGGCGAGAUCGGAUAGAGAAGGAUGGCUCUCAUUCCGGGACCCUAGUGUCAGAUCGAACAGACUUUCAAGAACGAACCAAGGAAUCUGGUUCUCAAGUUUGGCUAGAUCCCGCAUGAGGAAAGGCAACACCCAGGGCUCGGACAAUAAGGGGUCAUGGCCCGGAUCGGUGUAGCCUACCUUUUUACAGGAGUACUUGCAGAACAGCUCAAUGAUGAAGCAACCAUCAAGUACCAUCAUCUCAAUGAGCUCAUCAUUGUUGAAAGCUAAGGGCUCGGAAUAGCACUUCCUUAUCUUCUCCUCCAUUGGCUUUAAAGUCUCGACGAAGUGCUUUAGCUUUUCCCUUCUUUGGCUUGUUCGAUUGAGCAGAUCGACAGAGAAUCUCCGCUUGUGCUCUUGGAUCUUUUGAAACUGUGGCUUUCCGUGGUGGUAGGGGCCGAUUGGGACCGUGUUAGGUUGGUAUGCCAUCUGAUUUGUCUCGGACAGGCUUUGAGGCACUCUAAAGAUGGAAAAACCUAUCCCGUCGGCUGAUCCUGUGCUACUACCAUUGGUCAUUUCGACAUUCACUACAUGAUAAGAAGAACUACCAAUCCUGGCAGAUUGGCUGCAGCGAGAAUCCGACUUUCUGGGCAUUGUGUUUUUGCUGUUCUGUUUAAUUUGCUGAAGAUUUUACUGAGAUUUGCGCCUCGCACUGUAAAUAUGAAGAGCGGUGAUGCGUGAAACUACCAGGAAAUUGGCAUUGCUCUUCUUUGUUUCUGCUAAAAGACUUGCUGUCUUGACUUGACUAUCAAUAAUUAACGGUGGGGUGAGAAAAGCAAAAGAGCGGCCAAUGGAGAUGACCGGGAUUUAAGUGGCUAGGUCAAUAAUUGACUUAAAUGAACUUCCCUGAAGUAGCAUCGGCUUAGUGGACCAAUCUUCUAUGAGGUCGAGGGAGUCCUUCCUUUCGGGUCCACCAUGGCUGUCGUGUUGCACUUUCCACCUUUCAGUUCUGGGAAAAGUUUAGAAGCUAGCAGGUCAUUAAAUUAAAGCGUAAGAUAUUACAGAAAAAUCUUAGAAAAUAGAUGUGGAAAGGAAGACGAUGAAAUUCAGGAUAAGGAAAACGUAGUAGGCUAUAGAAUCUGACCUUAUUGAAGGUUAAAGAUGGUAGUGAUGCUGUUUGCAGAUGUAGCUCUCACGUCCACUGUCACUCAUGGGGUGGUCUCCAGUGGAGGAGGAGCAAAAGAGUAUAAAGGAGUCAAAUCAACUCUGCUUUGAGUCCGACUAGUACAGCUACUAGGAUCCUGCCCAAGCACUAGAUUUUCGGGCAUUUUAACCACCUCAGACAUCUUGGCACAGACAGAAGGACCGCAAGCCGAACACAACAAUACCAUUCAGAACAGUUCCUCUGCUCCUUCUCCAUAGUUCCAAGAGCAAAUUGGGAUCGAUCACUCUCCAACUCAUUCUCCUUCAUACAUCUGCUAACCAUGUAGCUGAUCAAGGUUGAAGGUUCGCUGUCCAGAGAUGAGCACCAGAAGCAUGCUCCGGUAGCCCAAAACAUCAUUCAGUCUGCAAUUUCCUGUCUGGAGGUACACCGGGGCAAUAACCCAUUCAGCCAAAGGCAAUGGUGUUGACAUGAACAUCUUCAGUGCAGCGAUGGGUUUGAAAACAACAAUCAGCAUCUAAAGAAUCUUCUCCUCAGCCAGAGGACACGAAUCCCAAGAGGUGCUUCGGUGUGUGCCUUUUAAAUAGUCCCAUUCUCCAUGAUUCUGUCAUGCAUGAUCAUGGCCAAUCCGAAAUUUCCAAUCACGACCUCCAAAUUGUUACCCAAAUGACGCAAUGCACGAUUUUAGCUUUACCUUGAUCAUGCAGGAACACGAACCCUUUUUGCUGCCCCAGUGCCCAAUCGAGAAGUGGGCUUGAUCGGUCGGUCUCUCUCUAAGACCAUAAGCUGUUGGAGAAAUCUUCUUGAAGUGUUUUGAAGUUGACAAAACGUUUUCAUCAGUCUAGUCUGAAGGCUUGCAGACUCUGCUAUUUAAAGUCCGAAGACCUCCGGACAGCCAGACUCAAUACUCAAAGUCUAUCCUCAUUGACAGUCUCUAAUCCGUUGAAGAAAGGUUAUCCAGAACUGGAUGUUUCGUCAAGGAUUUAACCAUAUCAACUGGAGAAGAUCUCGUGACUGGAAAAGACAUAACGGAGUCCUUUGAUUGAUCAAAGAUUGACUCGAUAAUUGAAGAUCCGGUGAUUGCCUAAAUAUUAUUGGAAGGUUCUACUUAUGGAAACCGAGAUCCUGAUUGUAUGGGCGAACAUGAUUGAUGGGCUAUCGACACGUUCCUUUAAUAGCUCGGAUAAUCUUCCUAAUUGAUUCCGUCCAACGGGUAGAUUGAAGGAAUUCCUUUGGUAAGUGCCAACGGGUAUGAUGGCAUAAAGGAGUAUACAAGGAAGAUGUUCUAAGUUGUUGAGGUGUGCGCGAUAGAAGAAUUCCAAAGUCUGAAGCUCAUUUUUUUGUUUAGACAAUUCCUUUGAGCGAAUACUUGUAUACAAAAGAGAGUCUAUGAGAAAUCUUGAGGAGGUGUGGUAGAACAUCCACACUGUGGAAUCAAGGCAAAGCUGUGCUGUAACUUCUCUUUUGUUCAUAAGUGAAAUUCAGCCGUUGGGCUGUCAGUGCGGAAGAGUGGACGUAGGCUUGGAAUAAGCCGAACCACUAUAAACCCUGUGUUCAAUUUUCUCUUCCUUACUCUCUUUACCUUGAUCGUAUUUCAUUUUGUUAAUCAAGAGAGAAUUUCCUUUCUAUCAUUUGCCAAGAAUCGCUUCCAUAUCUCGAUAAAUUGUUUGUACACCUAUUCACCCCCUCUUGGUGCUUAUACUAGCUAUCUCAAUUGGUAUCAGAGCCUGUGUACUCACUUUGUUUGAAGUAUUUUACUUCAGAGUUAAAGAUCCAUGACUAGUAUGUUGGCUCCAGGGCUGGUAGAAGGGCAAAGCAACACCAGACCACCUUAUUUUGACGGAAAGGACUACAACAUAUGGAAAAACAAGAUGAAGGCGUUCUUAAGAUCAAAGGAUCCUCUGGAAUGGGACGUUGUAGAAAAAUGAAUUGUUCCCAAAGCUGCUCCUGUCUCAGAAAGAGGAAAAGACUCUGUUGAGUCUAGCGAAAUGACUUAGGAAGAGAUAAUCAAGAUACAAGCUCUUGAUGCAAAAGCAAUUUAUUCUUUAUAUUGUGCUUUAUCACCUACUGAAUAUAACAGAAUAUCUUCUUGUGAUACAGCCAAAGAAGUCUGGGAUAGAUUACACAUUACUUAUGAAGGAACCGAUCGAGUGAAAGAGACAAGAAUCAACAUUCUUCUCGGUCAAUACGAAGCCUUCAGAAUGAAACCAGGAGAAUCUAUAACUGACAUGUUUAGUCGUUUUACAGAUAUCGUGAAUGGUCUUGAAAAUCAAGGUCAACCAAUUUCUGAUCCCAUGAAAGUAAACAAGUUACUGCGUGGACUCUCCAAGGAUUGGAAUCACAUAAAGACCUCAAUCAAAGAGACCCAAAGAAUCAUGCCACUGUCUGUCGAUGAGUUGGUUGGGACUCUUCAAUCUUAUGAAGUGGAACGAAUCAAUGAAGACGAAGACCCUAAAGGUAAGAAAUCUAUUGCAUUAAAAUCUAAUGAUGAUUCUGAUGUAACAGAUUCUGAAGAUGACAUUGAUGAUGAAGAACUUGCUCUUAUGAUAAGAAGAUUCAGAAAGCUGAACAGAAAAGGAAGAAGAUUCAAUGCAAAGAAACAAAGUUUUCAAAAGCAACAGACCAAGUCUGCUGAAGAUGAAGAAUCAAACAAAGAUGUAGUCUGCUUUGAAUGUAAGAAAAAGGGACACAUCAGACCCAACUGUCCUCUUCUAAGGAAGAAGAAAGGAAAAACUGAAAGAUAUCGAAAAGCUCUCAAAGCUGAAACCCGGAGUGAUACAGAGUGCGAAGAUAGUGAUGAUGAUUAUGCCAACAUAUGUCUAAUGGCACAAUCAGAUUCAGAAUCAAACUCCGAGACUAAUUUAGAUUCAGAAAGUGAAUUCGAGGUAAGUAACUUCAAAAUCCCUAUUAAAGUUUCAAAAUACAUUGAUGAAUUAUGUUUUAGUCUUAAGACUUCUCUUAAAAGAAUUUCCAAACUCAAAAAAGAAAAUUCUGCUUUAAAACAACAAGAGAAUGCUUUGGAGGAAAAAGUGAAAUGCUUAGACCAGAAUGUUUCUUCUCUCAAAGAAAGUGAAAAUAAUCUUUUAAAAGAAAAUGCAUUUUUGAAAAAUGAUAUUUCAAAUAUUUCCAAAAGAUUUUCUUUAGGUUCUGAAAAACUAGAGAAAAUACUUUCUGCUCAAAGACCUUAUUUCAAUAAAUAUGGUUUGGGAAUGACCGCUGAAACCAUUCCUUUAAUCGAUUUUCCUAAAGUAAAAGAAAGAAUCAAACAAAGACCCAUAAGAAAUGCUUACAAAAAUCAUUUUGAAAGGAACUUUGUAAAACCAGUAGGUCAUAAUGCUCUUAGAUGUUCAAAAUGCAAUAGUGCAUAUCAUUUUGAGAAAGAAUGUCCUAUGGUUUGGAGACCUGUCAAUAAAGUCUGGGCAAAAACCGUAUAUCAAACUAACUCAAAAGGACCCAAGAAAAUAUGGGUACCAAAGAAAGCUUGAGUUUCUUUUUGAAUGCAGAUCACUAUCAAGAAAAAAAAGUGAAAUGGUAUCUGGAUAGUGGAUGCUCUAGACACAUGACAGGAGGUUCAAAUUACUUCAUAAAGCUCGUUCAAGUGAAUGGUGGAAAAGUCUCAUUUGGAGGAAACAACAAAGGAAAAAUAGUGGGAUUUGGAACUGUAAAGAUUGGGAACCUCACAAUAAGCAAUGUUUCUUUAGUUGAAGGGCUCAAUUACAAUCUGUUCAGUGUCAGUCAGCUUUGUGAUGCCGAUUUUAGAAUAAACUUUCAAGAGGGUAUUUGUUCAGGAACCAGUAAAGACACUACUCAGUCAUUCAUGGGUCGAAGACAUGGAAAUAUCUACCUCUUGGACGUGAAACCAGAUGAAUCGCAAUGUCUAAUCUCAAUCCAAGACGAAGCGAACUUAUGGCACAAAAAGCUUGGGCAUAUCAACAUGAAGCAGAUAGCCAAAAUCUCAGCAAAGAAGCUUGUUCGUGGUCUACCCAAUUUAUCAUACCAAAAGUCUGAUCUAUGUACACCAUGUAUAUUGGGAAAACAUGUAAGAAAUUCCUUUAAACCAAUAAAUCAAGUUUCCACUAACCGUGUACUGCAGCUCUUGCAUAUGGAUCUCUUCGGACCAACAAGAACGCAAAGCAUUGAAGGUAAGAAAUACUGCCUAGUAAUUGUGGAUGAUUACUCACGAUUUACUUGGGUAUAUUUCUUAGCAAGUAAGUCUGAAACUUUCUCUUAUUUUGAAAAAUUUGCUAAGAAGGUUCAAAAUGAAAAGAGGUAUGUCAUUUCAAGUAUAAAAACAGACCAUGGAGGUGAAUUUGAAAAUCAAGACUUUGCAAAAUUUUGUGAUGAAUCUGGUUUUCAACAUUUGUUCUCCUCUCCAUAUACUCCAGAGCAAAACGGAGUCGUGGAAAGGAAGAAUAGAUCUUUUCAAGAAAUGGCUAGAACUCUUUUAAUUGAAAGCAAUAUCUCUUUACGUUUUUGGGCUGAAGCAGUUUCAACAUCAUGUUAUAUUAUCAAUAGAGUCUUUCUAAGGCCUAUUCUAGAAAAAAAAAAAAAAACCCUUAUGAACUAUUUAAAGAAAAGAAGCCAAUUGUUUCAUAUUUUCAUGUUUUCGGAUGCAAAUGUUUCAUAUUGAAAAAUGCAAAUGAUCGAGUUGGUAAGUUUGAAGAAAAUCAGAUGAAGGCAUUUUCCUUGGAUAUUCAACCACAAGUAAAGCGUACAGAGUCUACAACAAGAAGACUCAAACUGUGGAAGAAUCAAUGAAUGUCAAAUUCCAAGAUUCUAUUCAAAUGAAUCCAUUCAGACUCAUCUUGAAGAUACUGAAUCUGCUCCAGACUCAACAAAGUCUAAAUCUCAAGAAGCAGCUCAGAUUUUGAAGGAUCAGCAACAAGUAACUGUUGAAGAUUCAAGUGAAGAAAGUGAUCAUCAAUCUGAAAAAUUAAUCAGCAACUGGAAACAUAGGUCCAGUCAUCCCAAAGAUCUUAUUAUUUGCGACAUCAUUGAAGGAAUACACACAAGAUCCAAAAUGCGAGAAGAGUCUAGUGCCGUGGCUCUUAAUUCUGAAAUAGAACCCAAGAGCUUAAAAGAAGCUUUAUCCGAUGAAAGCUGGAUUGAAGCUAUGCAAGAAGAACUCAGACAAUUCAAAAUUAAUGAUGUCUGGGAAUUAACUCCAAAAUCGAAAGGUAAAUCAGUUGUUGGAGCUAAAUGGGUUUUCAUAAACAAGAUGGACGAGAAAGGUAAAGUCGUAAGAAACAAAGCAAGCCUCGUGGCCAAAGGAUACACACAAGAAGAAGGGAUCGACUAUGACGAGACUUAUGCACCGGUAGCAAGGUUAGAAGCAAUUCGUUUAUUACUUGCAUUUGCUUGUCAUAAAAAUUUCAGGUUAUUUCAAAUGGACGUCAAAAGUGCUUUCCUAAAUGGAUUCAUCCAUGAGGAAGUCUAUGUGGAACAACCACCAGGGUUUGAAGACCCAAGGAAACCAGACUCAGUAUUCAAACUCAAAAAGGCCUUAUAUGGCUUAAAGCAAGCACCUCGAGUUUGGUAUGACAGAUUAAGUAAGUUUUUAAUUCAAAAUGGAUUUGUUAAAGGUAAAGUGGACACUACUCUUUUUAUUAAAAGAGAAAGCAAAAGUUUUAUGCUUGUUCAAAUAUAUGUCGAUGAUAUUAUCUUUGGAUCCUCUAAUGAAAGUCUGUGCAAGAAAUUUUCUAAAACUAUGCAGGAAGAAUUUGAAAUGAGCAUGAUGGGUGAGUCAACCUUCUUUCUUGGACUUCAAAUAAAACAAUUGGAGGAAGGAACUUUUAUUCAUCAAGAAAAGUAUGCAAACGAUCUUGUCAAAAAGUUUGGUCUGGACAAUUGCAAAAAAGCUGACAUACCAAUGUCAAGUUCCUUGAAGAUAGACAAAGAUGAAGAAGGGAAAAAAGUCGAUCAAAAGCUGUACAGGAGUAUCAUCGAAUCUCUUCUUUAUCUUACUGCUUCUAGACCUGACAUUUUGUUUAGUGUUUGCAUCUGUGCCAGAUUUCAAUCAAAUCCAAAAGAAUCUCAUUUGAAUGCUGCGAAGCGUAUUAUUAAAUAUGUUUCAUCAACUUCAAGCAUCGGUCUUUGGUAUCCUAAGAAGGGAGACCUUAAUCUUAUGGGAUAUUCAGACGCAAAUCUGGCCGGUUGCAUGAGUCUUCAAUUUGCCAGUUGUUUGGAAGCAGGACAGUGUCUUGGUUUUCAAGGAAACAAAGCACUGUGGCUCUUUCAACAACAGAAGCAUAGUAUGUAGCUCUUGGAAGUUGCUGUUCGCAAAUUCUAUGGAUAAAACAACAGCUAAGAGACUUUGGAAUUGAAGACUCAUGCACGGAGAUUAAUUGUGACAACACCAGCGCUAUCAACCUCACCAAAAAUCCAAUUCUCCACUCAAGAGCAAAGCAUAUAGAGAUUCGACAUCACUUUAUUAGAGACCAUGUUCAAAAUGGAGAUGUUUCAAUUCAAUUUGUUGACUCAAAGAACCAACUAGCGGAUAUAUUCACAAAGCCUUUGGAGAAAAAUCAAUUUGAAUCUAUCCGUUCCAGACUCAACAUUUUGAGGUAUGAGGAAAUCAAAGUCUAAAGACUUUCAGACUCAGACAUACAAGACUUUAUCUGUAAGAUAGUCUUGGUACGACCGUCAGAAUGUAAGUCUUUCUCUCUCUAAUCUUAUCUUGAAAAGGUACAAUCGUCAGACUGUGUUUAAAUUGUUGCUAUAUUUAAUCGACGUAAUUAUUGCAUCAUUUCAUUUUCAAAAAGAAAGUAUUUUUGAAAUGGCUAUUUUUGCGGAAAAAGACAGUUAUUUUGAAAAUGCAUCUUUUUAUUUCCUUUGUGACGGUUCGUUUAUCUCUCUUUUUAACCGAUCGUGCACUGUUGAUUCCUCUUCACUUUACUCUCAAAAACCCUAGAAAGCAUCAAUCCUCCAUUCCCGUUUGUCUUCUUUGUUUAAUCUUCAAAAAGUUGUCAUCUUUCUUGGGAAAGUCAAGCAAGGAAUCUUCCAAAAACUGAGAAAGAUGUCAUCUUCAAGAAAGUCUUCGAGAAUCGCAAGCAGAGGACCACGGCGAAUGAGUGAGGGGCCUACGCACUUCGAUCUUACUGAAGAAGAAGUGUCUCCAGAACAGCAACCGAGCCCACAACAUUCUCAGCAGCGUCAUUCUCCUCCAUCUAGUCCUCAAGGCGUUGAUCAUCAACAACAGGAAGAAAUCAUCGAGGAUGCAGACCCUGUAAGAGUUCAAAAGCCCGAUUAUAUUUACAAGCUAUAUCGUGCCUUAAAAGGAACCCGUACUCCUUUGAACUAUGUUGAUGAUUUUCUUAAAGACAAACGAUAUAAGAACGAAUAUAUCUUUCUGCGAAAAAUUGAAAGUUUGGGAAUUGCUCGUAAAGGAGUGGCUGAGGAAACCCUUGCGAAUAUCCCAAGUGAUCCUCGUGACUGGGGGCCGAAUCCUGUAGAUGGGAAUGAUGAUGACAAAUUGUACAGCCAAUUUCAACCGAAAAUGGGUAUUGCGGUUGAAAAUCAAGGAAAAAGGGGAGAUUUGUUCAGAUCGAAGGAACAAAAGGAUCUGUACUCGAAAUUGCUGAAGCGUGGGGUAAUAAACCCUAGGAGUGUGGAUUUUGAUUUUCUGGAUGCUGUGAAUGUGAACUUGAGGGGAAAAGUUCAGUUAUCUUCAACUUGAAAAGUUCUGCUCUUACACUACAUAGGCCUAUGCUGGAUUAAUUGCAUAUUUCUAUUCAAUCUUAGCUUUUUGGAAGCGAAUAGAUUCUCUUUCAGUGUUAAAGACCAAGACUAUGUUGUGGAUAUGAAUAUGCUAGCAGAUGUGUUAGGAGUUGAAAGAGAAGAUAUCAACCAAUCAAAGUUUCCAUUGCUCGGGCCACACUGGAACUGGUGAAGGACAGAGAACAUAUGAGAGGAUCACCUACGUAGGAUGAGUGCAUUCAACAUCUUGCUUCACAGAUUGUGAUCAAUGCCGUCCGACCGAAGUCAACUUCCAAACUAAUGUUUCAGGUUCAGAGGCCAAGCUGAUGGAUGCCAUCCUCUUGNNNNNNNNNNNNNNNNNNNNNNNNNNNNNNNNNNNNNNNNNNNNNNNNNNNNNNNNNNNNNNNNNNNNNNNNNNNNNNNNNNNNNNNNNNNNNNNNNNNNNNNNNNNNNNNNNNNNNNNNNNNNNNNNNNNNNNNNNNNNNNNNNNNNNNNNNNNNNNNNNNNNNNNNNNNNNNNNNNNNNNNNNNNNNNNNNNNNNNNNNNNNNNNNNNNNNNNNNNNNNNNNNNNNNNNNNNNNNNNNNNNNNNNNNNNNNNNNNNNNNNNNNNNNNNNNNNNNNNNNNNNNNNNNNNNNNNNNNNNNNNNNNNNNNNNNNNNNNNNNNNNNNNNNNNNNNNNNNNNNNNNNNNNNNNNNNNNNNNNNNNNNNNNNNNNNNNNNNNNNNNNNNNNNNNNNNNNNNNNNNNNNNNNNNNNNNNNNNNNNNNNNNNNNNNNNNNNNNNNNNNNNNNNNNNNNNNNNNNNNNNNNNNNNNNNNNNNNNNNNNNNNNNNNNNNNNNNNNNNNNNNNNNNNNNNNNNNNNNNNNNAAGAAGAAGGAGAACUUGAGGAACUCUCUUCUCCACCUGUAGGCAUGGAAACAGGGGGAGAUCAAGAGAAAGGAGGGAAGUCUUCAUAUCCUGAUGCAAGUGAAGGAGUCAGUCGCUCACCUGCAGACCCAGAGGAUGUUUAUGUCUCUUAGUUUCCAGAAGAAGGUCAUGAAGUUUCAUCGCCAAACCUGCGAGAUUAUGCUGAUCUACCAUCGUCUGCAUUUACUCCAUCACAUCGGGCCGAAGCAAGUACUCAGACUGAUAAUGCAGCAGAUUUUCGCAGAAUCAUGGAUAUUCUCUUGGAGAUGCGAGGUCAAAAUUAUGCCUUGGGAUGCGAGGUUCAAAACUUGCAGAAUGCGGGUCAAUUUUCUUCAUGUUCAUUGAAUGAUAAGAUCCAAGCCCUCUCUGUUCAGAUUCAGGCCAAUGCCAAGGGUGAGGAGAUUGCUCAACUGAAGGAAGACUUGAAAAGGCUGGAAGGCAUCGUUCAGUCUAUGGAAGAUUUCCAGCUUGUCCGCGUUCCCAAGCAAUCUUGACUUCAUCUCAACCUUUUUAAUGCUGACAAAAAGGGGGAGAGAUGCAAGAUUUGAUCAAACUUUCAAUCGUUAAACUUUUAAUUGUGUGGAUUGUUUGUUGGAUUGUUUUGUUUGACUUUGACUUUGUGUCUGGAUGAGAACUGAUGUCUCGAUGAGAACUGAACUAGACUUGGACUUGAUUGCUUUUAUUAACUACUAUUGAUAUCUUAUGGAUGGCUUUAUCGUAUACUAAACUAACCUAUUUUCUGUGGUUGCAGAUUCUAGUGUUAUUCAUUUAGCCAUUUAUCUCUAUAAGAUAUGCAUAUGUGUUUGAGAAAUGUUUUGCAGGUCAAAGUUAUCCAAAUCUGUAGGAAAGUUUGUCACCAUCAAAAAUGGGAGAUUGUUGGAGAAAUCUUCUUGAAGUGUUUUGAAGCUGACAAAACGUUUCCAUCAGUCUAGUUUGAAAGCUUGCAGACUCUGCUAUUUAAAGUCCGAAGACCUCCGGACAGCUAGACUCAGGACUCAAAGUCUAUCUCAUUGACAGUCUCUAAUCCGUUGAAGAAAGGUUAUCCAGAACUGGAUGUUUCGUCAAGGAUUUAACCUUAUCAACUGGAGAAGAUCUCGUGGCUGGAAAAGACAUAACGGAGUCCUUUGAUUGAUCGAAGAUUGACUCGAUAAUUGAAGAUCCGGUGAUUGCCUAAAUAUUAUUGGAAGGUUCUACUUAUGGAAACCGAGAUCCUGAUUGUAUGGGCGAACAUGAUUGAUGGGCUAUCGACACGUUCAUUUAAUAGCUCGGAUAAUCUUCCUAAUUGAUUCCGUCCAACGGGUAGAUUGGAGGAAUUCCUUUGGUAAGUGCCAACGGGUAUGAUGGCAUAAAGGAGUAUACAAGGAAGACGUUCUAAUUUGUUGAGGUGUGCGCGAUAGAAGAAUUCCAAAGUCUGAAGCUCCUUUUUUUGUUUAGACAAUUCCUUUGAGCGAAUACUUGUAUACAAAAGAGAGUCUAUAUUUGUGAGAAAUCUUGAAGAAGUGUGGUAGAACAUCCACACUAUGGAAUCAAGGCAAAGCUGUGCUAUAAUUUCUCUUUUGUUCAUAAGUGAAAUCCAGCUGGUGGGCUGUCAGUGCGGAAGAGUGGACGUAGGCUUGGAAUAAGCCGAACCACUAUAAACCCUGUGUUCAAUUUUCUCUUAUUUACUCUCUUUACCUUGAUCGUAUUUAUCAAGAGAGAAUUUCCUUUCUAUCGUUUGCCAAGAAUCGUUUCCAUAUCUCGAUAAAUUAUUUGUACACCUAUUCACCCCCUCUAGGUGCUUAUACUAGCUAUCUCAUAAGCUAGGCUGUUAUGAACCAUAGGAGGACAAACCGGUAGAAGCUCUUCCUCUGUUCUGCAAAAGCCCCUCAGGCAUUGCACGUUGGAUGCACAUAUUUGAAACUCUCUUUUGGAACUGCUUCUCAACUCGUCGUGAGAGAAUUCCUGCUCUUUUUACUGCCAUUAGAGAGCCAUCGGCCAAGCGUCCCUAGUAAACCAUGCCAAUUCCACCUUUUCCCAAGACAUUGCCGGCACUAAAAUUGUGCAUCGCAACCUAAGGUUUCUGUUGCCAUACCCUGAAACCCCAAAAAAUGGGAGUGACAUAGCCGUUUUUCCACCUGAAGGAUGUAGCCCCAAAUCAUCAGAAUCCAACUCACAAAAGUUCUUUUCGAUAUCGCUCUCAUUCUAUCAGUUGCUAAUCAAAAGAUAUAGAAAGAUUGCAAAAGAGAUGAGAAACCACAAGCUUAGUGAGUAAUACUUAUUGCUUUUGAGAUAUGAAUUUACAAAUCCAUAGAAGAGAUGGUGUCACUCACCUAAAUAUGCCCCAAACCAAAUAAUAAGGCUCACUCAAUUCGAUAAACUCACAUUCCUAUCAUAUAAGCAAUAAAUAGUAUCGAAAUAAAAUAAAAUGCUAUCUCAAGUAUGGCUCGGCUAAACUAAGCUUAUACGUUAACAAAAUAAUCCCAUGCAUUAACAAAUCGCUUACCUGAAGCAAUUACUCAAACUAAAACUUAACUCGAAACUCACCUGCAAAACUCUAAAAUCUUGCUUCAACAAAACCGUUGUUCCAAAACUACUCCUGUAAAAAUCCAUUGCUCUAUAAUGUCAUAAUCCACCAUUUACAUGAAAACUUGAAGCUACACAAUCCAAAAAUUGGACUCCGCAGCUCAAUUUCCAUGUAACUUCGAAUUUUAACCCUAUUUCCAUAAACUAUGUGUUGUGAAAAGGUGAGUGAUCGAACAAUAAUAUAGACAGAGAAGAAAAUAAAUCGGACACCAAAUUUAUGUGGUUCAAUUGUAAAGACUUACGUCCACGGGGAGAACAACAACGAAUUUCUCUAUAGAUUAAGCGAUACAAGGAGAUUACACACUCAAGUCGUUUAAACACUCUCUCUGUGUUUCCCAAGCCCCAAUUACACCCAAUAAUGCACGCAAUGUUUAACCCCAAAAUUCCUCAAGAAAUAAUCUCUCAAUCUCACGAAUGAAUUACACGCAAAUCUUACCACAAGAUUUAAUUGGCCACAAACACUAAUCUUUCUUGGAUGUAAUUCACGACAAAGAAAAUCCCUCCCAAGCCCUCAAUAAUGAGAUGGCACUUUAAGACCAAUUCUUCACGAUCAACAGAGGAACACCAAGCACUCAUGCGGUGCUGACGUGCGGCUACGUUGAUCGUCGAACGUACAGCUUCAUACGUAGAGUUUUCUUUUCUUUUAAACCGACUUCACGAGCACGCCAAAGAAGGGAAUCGUGUGCCCAUGGUCAAAUAGUUGACCUGGGCCCACCAACGUUGGAUUCACGCGUACAUGUAGAGAGCUUCCCCUUUUUAUUUAUCCAUCAGCCCAUCCUUGUAAUAUUGAGUGUGCGUGUGUGCCCAAGGCCAAACUUUUGACCUUGGGCCCACCACUUUAACAAAUCUUCAUGUGCAGGGCUUCUUCCUUUGCUUCUUCUACGUAGAGCUGCAGCGACGUCCCUUGAAGGAAAAAGAGAAACUUCGGUGGCUUCACUCCAAAGGGCAAAAUUCUUCUUUUCAAUUAUUUCCUCCUUUGUGCAGCUUUAAGGUUCGAAUCUCAAACUCGAGUCAUAAAUUUAACAAACUCCACAUUGGCUCGACGUUUGAGCCAAAUUGCAAUCGUUUCGCAAAAAGUUCAAAUUCUACCGCUACUUUUCCAUAGCUCUCGAUAGACUCAACCGCCACAGAUAUUAUCCAAGUCCAAGCCUCGCUUGAACUUCGUCAUAACCAAGGAUCUCAUUAGAAUACCAACUCCACAUGCACCUUUAACUGCUCCGCAAUGAUUUUUUGACCCAACCUCCUCAAUCGUAGAUAAAGUAAAACCAUUAUUGCAUUCCAUAUCUAUUAUGAAAUUGAAUACGUACCUUAUCAAUAUCAGCAGUUACAACAACCGUCGGCUCUAUAAGCUUCUCCUCGCUACAAGCACCAUUUGUGUCAAUUACUUUGCUAGUGCUCAUACUUGCUACCUUAGGAGUUUCUGGUUGCAAGUCCACCUCAAGCUGAAUACCGUCUAGAUCUGUAUUAACAUUACCACACACACUCCUAGCCAAAAGUAUCAGAGACUUGUCAAGGGUAAUUUCUCUACUAUCAACAUGUAAAUUUAUAUCCGGGCACCACAACUGAUUGCCCCACUCAUCUUGUGCAUAGCCAUGGAAUAUGCACUUUGCCCUCCAAUUGAGCUUACCAUCACUCACUCGAAAAUAACACGGGCAACCAAACAUUCUAAGAAUAGAAUAAUUAGCAACGUUACCUGACAACACUUCUUUAGGAGUCCACCAUUUAAUAGCAGUUUAUAGGGAUCUAUUCACUAGGCAGCUUACCGUACUAAGCACAUCAGCUAGGAUUCUUCUAGCAAUACCAGCACUAAAGAUAAAUUUUCGGGCCAUCUCUAAUAAUGUUCUUCUCGUCAAUUCUGCAAAUUGUUGUGAUUUAUUUGCACUAGUGUAGUGUUGCACUAUGCUCUCUUUCAUGUAGAAUUUAUUUGCCAGCUUCGAGCAGAACUUCAUGCUAUUGUCAGUCCACACAUGCUGGAUCGACUUACCAGUUUCCGUCUCGAUCAAAGCUCUCAAUUGCGUGAUCCUAACAACAGUAGCAAACUCAUGCAUUGGCACAAACAUCUAGGUCUUCCUCGAGCAGUCAAUAGACUCUUGAAUAGAUGCAUCCAACGUCUUCGAGGUAAAAUCUAUCAUUGUCUCACCUUGAAGUUUAUACAGGCCUCCGUGCUUGAUUCCUUUCAUUAUCACCAAGGCACCUCGAACAACCUUCAAAACUUCACAUUUUGAAUAAUACCUGCAACCAGCUAAAUCUAGGGCACCCAAGGAAAUUAAGUUUUUUUUUUCAAUUCUGGAACAUACCUUACUCCAGUCAAUGUCCUCACGAUACCAUCAUGCAUUCUGAUUUUAACAUCACCAACACCCACAACAUCGCAUUCAACGUUGUUCCCUAACUGGACUUUACCAUUACCCGUGCACUGAUAAGUGAUAAACCAAUUUCUAUUUGGUGUGACAUGAAAAGAACAACUAGAAUCCAUAACCCAUCCAUCAAGCGAUAAAUCAUUAGUGACAGACAAGACAUAAUCGGCAUUAUCAGCUACAACUGCAACAUUAUCUGCAGAAUCAAUUAUAAUUCCCUUACCCUUCUCAUUCUUCAACUUAAGGCAAUUCCUUCUAAGAUGCUCCCUCUUGCCACAGCUCCAAUAGACGACAUUAGCAGUCCUAGAUUGACUACGUCUGUUCAUAUUAGUACUGCUAUUACCCACACGUGUUCUAGAUCUUCCUCUAUUUUCAUCUACUAAAACAGUAGAUACAGGUUCGCCAGAUUCUCUUCUACGAGUGUCCUCGCUCAGAAUCAAAUCUCGAACCCCAUCAAACGUCAAACUUGUUGAUCCAAAGGAAUUACUAACAUUAGUAAUGGUAGUAUUCCAACUAUUAGGCAAUGAGGAUAACAGAAUCAAAGCACGUACCUCAUCUUCAAAAUCAAUCUCAAUUGAACUCAAUUAACUAACAAUCACAUUGAAUUCAUUGAUAUGAUCUGCAACUGACGCACCUUCUCUCAUCUUCAGAUUAAAUAGACGUCGCGUCAAACAGACAUUGUUGAUUGCAAAUGGCUUCUCGUACAUAUCCAACAGGAUUUACAUCAAAUUAGUAGUGGUCUUCUCCUUCAGGAUGUUAAACGCGACGUUACGAGCCAACGUCAGCCGAAUAACACCCAUAGCUCGUCUAUAGCAAAUCCUAAUCACCUUGCUUCAUCGUCUCUAGUUUCUCCCCAGAUAAAGGUAAGUGCAGAUUCAUCUAGUAAAGAUAAUCUGGCAAAUCCCAAUCGGCUUGCUUCAAAUAUAUCGAUUCUCACUUUUAUUUCUUCUAUCGCCAUCGAUUCGCUUCAACUUAUCCAAGCCUGGCUCUGAUACCACUUGUUGUGAAAAGGUGAGCGAUCAAACAAUAAUAUAGACAGAGAAAAAAAUAAAUCGAACACCAAAUUUAUGUGGUUCAGUUGUAAAGACCUACAUCCAUGGGGAAAGCAGCAGCGAAUUUCACUAUAGAUUAAGCGAUACAAGGAGAUUACACACUCAAGUCGCUCAAACACUCUCUCGGUGUUUUCCAAGCCCCAAUUACACCCAAUAACGCACGCAAUGUUUAACCCUAAAAUUCCUCAAGAAAUAAUAUCUAAAUCUUAUGAAUGAAUUACAUGCAAAUCUUACCACAAGAUUUAAUUGGCUACAAACACUAAUCUUUCUUGGAUAUAAUUCACGACAAAGAAAAUCCCUCCCAAACACUCGACAAUGAAACGGCGCUUCAAGAUCAAUUCUUCACGAUCAACAGCGAAACACCAAGCACUCACGCGGCGUUGAUGUGCGGCUACGUUGAUCGUCUUCAUACGUAGGGUUUUCUUUUCUUUGAAACCGGCUUCAUGCGCACGCCAAAGAAGGAAAUCAUGUGCCCCUGGUCAAAUAGUUGACUUGGGCCCACCAACGUUGGAUUCACGCGUACAUGCCGAGAGCUUGCCCUUUUUAUUUAUCCAUCAGCCAUCCCUGUAAUAUUGAGUGUGCAUGUGUGCCCAAGGUCAAACUUUUGACCUUGGGCCCACCACUUUAACAAAUCUUCACGUGCAGGACUUCUUCCUUCGCUUCUUCUACGUAGAGCUACAGCGACGUCCCUCGAAGGAAAAGAGAAACUUCGGCGGCUUCACUUCAAAGGGCAAAAUUCCUCUUUUCAAUUAUUUCCUCUUUUGUGCAGCUUUAAGGUCCGAUGAAUCUCAAACUUGAGUCAUAAAUUUAACAAUGCAUGAGAGGCACGGGUACUUAUUGCGUAUUGCAAUAUAUAGUCAAAUUGGCUUGACGAGGUGCCAAUACUCCUCUUCUUUAUUUCCUCUCUCUUUCUUUCCCUCUUCUCCCCCUUCUCUUUUUUGCGCGAGCCGUCGGUGAAAGAGGGAGCGGAGCCCUUUUUCUCCCCCCCUUGUUGACUUGUCAAACCUUAUUUUGUUUUCGUUUUUCCCUUCUUCUUUUUUCCUUCUGGUCAUCCUCUAACGUUUUGACUUUUUCGACGCCGCAUAUUACACCUGUACAAAGGAAACCUUUGGGGGAGUGUUGCACAGUCCUCCACGGGGAUUAGAGAAACUGAAGCUCUGGAAACUGAACGCCAUCUUUUACGAAUUCGAUUUCUCUAUAAGAUAAUCGAUCAUCCAAGAUUGAUGAUUUUGUUCUUUGUUGCCAUUGAUUUAAAGGUACCUUUUCAUUUCAGCUUCUAAAUACGUAGAGCUUUGCUUGUGCAUACACAAGUCUCCUGCCUAUCUGACUGAGUCAAAAUAACUCCCGUUUUCAGGGUCUCUUUCUCACAACUAGGCCCCAAUUUUGGUUCAUGUGAAUAAAAUGAGAAGAAAAUGAGCGAACUGGGGGCAAUUAUGUCAAUGGUGGGCUAUCUCUGCGUUCCAAAGACUGUUAGCAGCUUCAGAGAGAGAGAGAGAGAGAGAUUCCAUUGGCCUCGAGGUUUGGCUAUCCUCAUAAAUGAGAAUGAGAGAUUCCAUUUUGCCACGAAGUUUCGCUAUCUCCAUGAAUUCUUCCUCAAGUGCAGAACCAUGGAAGUGGCCACCACGAUCACCGAACUAUGGGAGUCAAUCACCAAUCAACCAUCGGUGUGGGGAAAUCUUAGUAUUCCAAAGUCCAUUGGCAGCUUCCACGAGAGAGAGAUUCCAUUUGCCUCGAAGUUCCACUAUCUUCAUAAAUGAGAGAGAGAGUUCCAUUUGCCUUGAAGUUUCACCGAUCCUUCCUCAAGUAUACAAUUAGAGAAUAACGUUAGUGUUACGAGCCCUGCGGAACCAUGGGAGUGGGCCACCAAUUAACCUGUGGCGUGUAACAAAAAGUACUGUAGAUUGUCAAGGAAGAGUCUAAGUCCGAGUCCAUUGAUAUAUCUAAUUAUACCCACAUUUACUCAAAAAAAAUAAUAAAUUGUGUACCAACUAAAAUAUAUCGAGUACUUCACAUCUUACUAAUUCUCUGAUGUGAAUUUUUUUUUAUUACAAUUCACAUGUGCAUCUCAACUAUUAGACUUUUGAGUAUAUGCAUAAAUUCAACUUCUAGAUUCAAUUUUUGUAUUCUAGAAUAAAAUUGGUCGAUCCUUUAAUUCCAAGUAACCAUUACGAACUAACAGAUUAUCAAUGCUCCAGUCAUUACAAGGAAAAAGCCAAGAAAUUGUCAUUUUCAUCAUCGGUUUACCUUUCUUCAAAGCUAGGAAUGUCAUGGAAGCUUUGAGGAAAUUUCUUGGUGACCAGUCCAUUGUGACGGCCCAAGAAAAGUGCGUAUAUAAACAUGGAGAACAAAAAGCGGGACAGCAUUCUACUAGGUCCCCAAAUUUCCAUACGAAAGACCUACCUGUGCCAUAUCAACUUCUAAUUUGCAACCCUUACCACACAGAAUCUCCUCCAACAUCGAGACAGUAUAUGUCUAACUCCAAAUUCUUCUCUACUCCUCUGUUAGUGUUGUUGAGUUAGCCAUAGACUUGAUAUUGAGACCUCGGGGAUUGAUGAAGUUCCCCAAACAUCAUUUGUUUCGGUCCCCCUUGUGAUGCAAAAGGCUGUUUGAGUCUUGUGGUUAGGCAAUAAACGCAGAAAGGUCGGAUUUGUGGUGGAUUGAGAAGAAGAGCUUGACAAAUUCUUGUCGAGAUGGUAUUCAAUUUGCGCACGUUCAGUCUGUCCAGUACCAGUAUACAAGUUGGUCCAACAGCUCGCUUUAGGGAUCUGCUGAGGAGGUUCUCUGUGCAUGAACUUCAAGUUGCAACAAGAAACUUUAGCCCCAACAGCAUGUUGGGCGAAGGCGCGUUUGGACCUGUUUACAGAGGAUGCUUGGCUGAUGGUUCUAUAGUUGCGAUAAAACGAAUGAGGGAACUUUCUGAAGAUUCAAAGAAACAGUUUUGGACAGAAGUGGAAGUGGCAGGCAUUGCUCCACACCCGAAUUUGUUAAGCCUGCUUGGGUUUUGCGAUACGGAUCAGGAGUGCUUGUUAGUCUAUCCAUUUAUGGUUAAUAGAAGUCUAAACUUCCACUUAGGACAGCGAGUCAGCAAUCCGAUUGAUUGGUCUAUCCGGAUGAGAAUAGCUUUAGGAGUUGCUAGGGGGUUAGCGCACUUGCAUGAUCAAUGUCAUCCAAGCAUCAUUCACCGUGACGUGAGUUGUUCGAACAUAUUAUUGAAUGAGGAAUUCGAGCCAGUUUUAGGAGACUUUGGCCUGGCCAGAAUCAUGCAUGAAACGGAUAUUGUGGUGGGAAACGUCGAAUGGUCCAUCGACUGCGGACCUGUCAAAUGGUCUGUCAAUCGCAGACCUGUCGAAUGGUCCCCUAGAGACAGGCGUUGCAUAUCACCACAACGCUACCAUGAUACUUACGUCAACAGCGCUGUGCGUGUGCAUACAGGGUAUGUCGCUCCGGAGUACUUAACCACGGGCAAGUGUACGUGGAGGAUUGACGUAUAUGCAUAUGGGUAUAUGCUUCUCGAGCUCAUCACAGGAAAGCAGCUUUCUGAUAAAGGAAUUGCAGGUCUUCACCCAGCUGAUUUGAUAAGUGAAUUUGUGGAGGACAACAGCUUGGAAACAAUUGUUGAUCCCAAAUUGCAGGGAAGCUACUCGAAAGAUGAAGCAGAGUGCGUUCGCCGGUUGGCAUUACUCUGUGUUUGUAUAAACCCGGCAAAACGACCAAAAAUGUCCGAGGUGAUUAGCACACUUGAGAACUCAUGUCAUGAUGAGAGGAGUCCCAGUGAAGCUGAUUCUCAGUCAGAUUAUGAUUGGAAUCUGUGAGACCAACUGUAGCACUCCCUACUACUCCAUCCUGGCUUCUCCAUCUUCAUCAGAGAUUGCCUAACGUCAUACGUCAUCUCUCUUGCUUUUGCUGUAAAUUAUAGCUUCCACAUUUCAAUUAUCAUUUCCCUUGUACGUUCAUCAGGUUCUUGGAACUUCUAAUUCCCCAGAUCAUGUUUAUCUGAGUCAUCAUGCCUGUUGCCUCCAUUCGCAUUGUGUACUUAAAAUCUUGUUAUCGCACUUCUGCUCGCAGAGAAUAUAUUCUUUGCUUUACAUAUUUAUCUGGAAUAUACUUGGAAUUUCACUUGGAAAAUUCCUUGGCAGAGCUAAUAUGUGUGGGGUAGGAUCUUUGUUGAGGCAAAAUGAACUCUAACUGUGCUCGCUUAGGCGAAAAACUAUUCCUAGUGAUCUAGAAAUAAUUUCUCUGAACCAUGGAGUCUAUCAUGAUUUGGUCAUGAAUAAAGGAGCUUAAAUAUUGGAGGAGACGAAGCAGUACGGGUGCCUGAGCAAUUUCCAGAUUGGGGGGACUGAAUUGAAAUCUAGCUUGCUGACGCUUUAGCAAUAUUAGCUUCAACUCAUCAUUGGAAGAUACGAGGCAACCUUCUUUGUUUGGGUCAGGGAUGAAGGUAUGGUGUGAAACAAUUAAUAAUUAUAAUUAAUUUAUAAUUUAUUGACUUAAACUUUUGAUUGAAGGUGGGUCAAACUGAAUAUUUUAACGGCCUUUGACUUUGACUCUCUCUUGGGGAUCUCCCUUAUGAAGAUGUCGAUAUUUGUUGUGUCAGCUCAACAAGUGAUAUCAUUGCAUUGGUGGCCCACUCCCUCUGUGUAUCGGUAUCCGGUGAAUAUCCCAAACGAAAAAUAGGAAAUAUCAAACGUGACUCCCUAAUCAAAGCAGCAGAUGGUGUUCCCGGCUUCUUUUUAAGCUUGCCUAGGCCAACACGAUUGAUGUGGAGUCUAUGUAUCUGAAGAAAGAAAAAUCUCGAAUGUGACUCCCUAAUCCAGGUGACGGAUGGUGUCCCCUAGCUUCUCACCAAGCUUGGCUAGGUCAAGUCGAUCGCGGGGUCAUCUGAAUAUGUCAAUGAAGGAGAAUCUCGAAUCUGACUCAUCAAUGGAGGUGGCAAAUGGCGUUCCCGGCCUCCCCCAAGCUUAGUUGGGUAAAGGCAAUCGAGGUGGGAUCUGAAGGGUAGAUACUGUCCUCACCAAGUUCUUGCCAAACUUGGCCUAGCCAAAGUGGAGAGUCUCGGAUCAAGAUAAUAUUAGUACAGAUGAAUACCUGGUUAAGAGAGAGCAAGCCUAAUGCAAGCAGCUCACACCUGAGAGGAGAUUGGUUGAAGUGCACUUGUGAGGGUAUUAGGCCAAAGAAGUGCCAUAUCGAGAAUGUUAUGUAAUGUGGAGUAGCUAAUAUAUCUUAAUUAAUUCAUAACUCAUUAAUUUAAGCUUUUUAGUAAAAGCAGUUUUAAUUAGAUAUAUUGUUAGGCUCGGAUUUGGGCUCUUAAUAGAACUACAUCAUCCAAGACUGAAAAAUCUGUUAGCCGUUCCCAAAGCUUGAAGCACGACUGUUUUUCCAAUUCGAAUUAGACUAUUGACAAACGUGAUUUUCUAAGACCACAGGAACUGAAGGUCUGGAUUUUAAAAACCAUCUCUCGAUGACCCAAUGACAGAACUCUUGAUUCCUUGUUUUAGUUCUAAACAAGUUAGUACAUAUGAAGAUCGAAGGUUUAUUAUCAUGUGCAAGUCAAUGUAAUAAAUUUUCUAAAGACAAUCGAAAAAGUAUCAAGAAAGUCCAAAAUUUAUUGUAUUUAUACCAAUUUAAUUCUAAAUUUUUAACAUAGUGUCAAUUUUUUUCUUCCAGUCAUUUUUGGCUAGAUUUUGUUGACGUGGACACUAGUUGGCUUACCGUCAGUGCUUAUAUGGAUAACUUCUGAUAAUAUUUUAAUGUUUUUUUCGAUUUUUUUCUUUUUUUUUUUAUUUUUCUUUUUCCUUUUUUUUAAUCCCUUCCUUCUUCCUCCAACUGGUCGCUUGGCAAUUGGCUUGAGGAGGAGAUCGGCUCAAGGAAGAAGGAAGUUAAGGAAAAGAAAAGAAAAAAGAAAGAAAAGAAAAAACUACAAAAAAUUUGAAAAAAUAUUAAAAUAUCAUUAAAGUUGUCAACAUGAGCGCUAGUUGUGUCACCUAAAUUAGCAAGCGUCCACGUCAAAAUUUUAUGCCAAAAUUAGUUGAAAUGACUGAAUUGACAUUAGGUCAAAAGAUUUAAAACUAAAUUGGUAUUAAUAAAAAGUUUAUGACUAAAUUAGUAACAACACAAUAGGUUUAUGACAUAAACUUUUUCAACAAUUUUUCCUAAGGUCAAUACUACAUGUUGCUGGAAUUAAUGUAGUCACUACGUCACCAUUUUGAAUUUUGCAGCUACGUAGGCUCUUAUUGGUAAAGUUACAACGCAAGUAUUACUCUUGCAAGUAAUGAAUAAAAUAAUGUAAACAUUGUCACACCCUGAUCCUACACAUACAGGGGAAUGAUAUGGCCGUACUCCUGCCUAAAGAAUGUAGCUUUAACGAUAAACCAACAUAAACCUGCUAUCAAAAUAUAUAUUUAUCUAAAUAUCUGAUAAAACAAGAAAUUGAUUAUAGAAUUAGAAUUCUCAAAUCCACCAAAAAUAAUAGAUAUACUUUGUCGAACUAAAAACUAAACCAAAUCAAAUGUCAUUUUAGACAUAUCCAAGAUCUAAACUCUUACCCAUAAUUCAACUACCAAAUAGCUAUUUGUUGACAUCGCUCUCAUCCUACUUGACACUAGCUGAAAAAAUGAAAAAAAAAUUAGAAAGAAUAGAGUAAACAAUUACAACUCGGUGAGUAGUACAUAUCUUUUAUAAGUAGAUCAAGCACUAACUAUACAUAUUUAUAAAGCAAUACCAUAAACUCAGUAAUCUCAAAUCUAGUAUAAAAUAUGCAGGUAAUAUGAAAAAUGAGUUAUAAAAUAUGCAUAUAAUAUCACUUCGGUCCCCGAUCGUCCCUCUCUUUCUCCCCGAAGGUUUCAGCAAAAUAAAGAAGAAGAAGAAGAAAAAAGCCUUUUCAGGGCUCAUACGAGCUAAGGAUGGAGUGGACUGAUGGCCUGACUUAAUAGAACUUGAGUUUUGGGCCCUUUUGUUUUUCUUUUUUAUAGCCCAAUUCUUACUGACAACAUAUCAAGAUGGUACCAUUUUCAUUAUUGUGUAGAGUUGUCGUUCACCUAUCGCUCAAAAAAAAAAAAAAAUGUCUUUCACCUAUAUUGUUUGGCUUGGGCUCCAUUCAGUGUUGGCGAUCGCUGUAGUCAUCUUGGAGUUCCAAUGUCAUUCACCUAUUACUUUCCACCUUCCUUGAUCAUAUUGAGAAGAAUGUUCCGGUGUGCUAAGACAUCAAUCCUCGGCGUGUACUUCCUGGUAUGCGAGUAAUACUGCGCAGUUCACCCCUUAUCCGCAUGCAUGGCAAUGUUAUAGUAAAAUGGGCACCGACUGCUGAUGCUUAUUCACUUCAGUAGGGAUAGAGCUAGGGUUGAUGGACCGUUCAAUGUUCCCCAGCACAACGUCCCUCUCAUGCAUGAUCCCCGCCUAGCCAAUGUCUCCCAAAGUUGGCUAAAAUUCCCCUUCAGCAACACUUUUGGACGACAUUGCAGUAAUGUUGCCCCUCAUAACUCCAAUUGCUAUUUGCAUUCUGGCGGUCCAAUUUUUAAGUGGAAUUCUUGGCUGCAAUUGAUCAUAAAGGGGUAGAGUAACAGCCACUCUAAACCUUUCUGGUUCUAGUUCAGUUUGAAACUGUUCUCCUAAAUCUUUAGUAAUAUUCCAUGAUCUUGCUACAGAACAAUCAGUCACACAUCCUCUAUAAGAGUAACUCUAGACCUUUCCACAUCAACCUCUGCCCUAACAUAUUCACGUAGCUUUCGUAUAGGGUCGCAACUCGAAACUCAUCCAGAUAGAAGCUUCAGUUGAUUAUAAUCGUCAACAGUAAAACAAACUUCUCGACUGCGACGGGAGAAACUGAAUGUGCGAAAAUUAAAGCCCAUCCCCUUAUGAUCCACUUCUUCUCUUCUUGACAAGCCAAUUCAGUACACGGAAAGCAUAAAGAACAAAGUCAAAUACAGAGAGACAAGAUUCGGACCUUUGUUUAAUCAUUUGGGAAAUGAAUUGAAUCCGAGAAAAAGCCCACCCAUAAAAGGUUGACUUUUGUCCGAAUAGUGGAAUGUUACAUGACAUAUUUAGAGACAUAUUUAGACAUAACGACAAUGUUUAGAAUUAUAACUCCAAUGUUAAGCAUGCUUUGGAAUGAAAGACCUCCCAAGAAAGUGCCAGAAAAAAUAAGGACACUUGGUUUAGGACGAGUCAAAGUAAACAAUAUCUCAAGUGAGUUAAUCCAAAAUAUAACAUUGGAAAUAAUGUAGUUGUUAUGUCUAACAUUUGAAUUUCAGCUGCCUAGGGGCACAAAUUUACACUUGCUAGGAACAAAUUAUAUGAGAUAGUCAGACUAUAUCAAGAUGGUACCUUUGUUUUUUUCGUAUAGAGCUCACCACCUUAGCUAAUUAGAACUUGGAGUUUUUUUUUUUUUUUGGAAACGAUUAGAACUUGGAGUUUCAAUGCCGUUCACCUGUCAUCGUUUGGUUGGGGCCCACUCAGCGUCGGUGGUCACUGUAGUCAAAGUGAAGCAGAAUUAGCCCAAGGUUCAUUGCAUAUAGCCAUACCAAAUGCUACAGAGUAAUGGGGUCCUGGGCAAAGCCUUAUCCGAUUCUUCAAAAUAUUAAUGCAGCAAUGCCUUUCAAACUCCUAGCCAUUGUCAUAGCGCAAUAAUACUUGCUAAUGAGGGAAAAAUCCAAACGCAAACCAGAGCCCCUUCUGCUAUUGAAGCGAAUACACGCAAGUGGCUUUCGGUCAGUCCCCCGGAAGCCUCGCUUAAUACAUGUGAUCAGUGAUGCAGGGUUUGUGACGCAUGUAAUCGCUCCUGUGUUGGGUUUAUUGACGUGAACUUUUCAAAACUUCAAAACCAAAAAUUUCACUUUGCACUUGUUCUAAGUUUACUAUUUGAUUUGAUGUCAAACUUAACUAAGAUCAACAAUAUUUGAUUCAACCUCUUCUUUAGCUUCUGGACCCGAUCAAUAGUCGGCAACUGACCUAUACUCUUGUGCUCCCUACACUAUAUUAUGUGAAUCCAAUUUUUCAUUUUUUUGACGGAAAAUUGUCGGUAUAUUUGGAUGAUAGGUUAUUGACUUUAUACUGUCAAGAGGUGAUGGGCUCAAAAAAUAUAUGCCCUAUACGUGAUGAGCUGAGCAUGAUAUCCAAGCCUUUGCUAACACCUGCUUAUGUCAUUGAAUGACUAUGAGCUGCUGGAGCUACUGAAGACUUUGGUCAUGAUUCAUGGUACCUCCUAUUUUAGCUAUUUCGGCAUCUCUCCUGUCACUAUGGUCUGUGUUUUUGGUUAAGAAGAAAUUAAACCAAGUAGUUCACUGUAGAGGUGGCAAAAUGGGUCACUUAUUUUUUGAAUAAAUUAGUUAAAUGGAUUUAACAAUUAAAUACUUAAGAUAGGUAGAUCUUAAGUGAAUCUUAAAUGGGUUAGAUUCAAAAUCCAUUUUCAACCAAAACCUCACAAUCUCUCUCUUCCCUCUUUAACUUUCAUAAUUAUUUUUUCUUUUUAAUUUUCUUUUCUUUUUUCUUUCCUUUUCUUUUUUUUUCUUCUUUCUCCUUCCGAUGGCUGGCGACCGGCCAAGCAAGCCUCAAGCUCACCGAAUCUGAAGAGGUGGAGGCCUCGCCAACGUCCGACAAGGCUCAAGCCUCACCGAUCUGGUGAGACUUGAACUCGCCGGCGUCGAGUGAGGGGUGAGCUCGAGCCUCGCCGAUUUGGCGAGCCUCGAGCUCACUGGAUCUGGUGAGGCGAAGGCCUUGUUGACAUGUCUGGCGAGAGGCAAGCUCGAGCCUCGUUGAUCUAGUGAGCCUCCGAGCUCGCNNNNNNNNNNNNNNNNNNNNNNNNNNNNNNNNNNNNNNNNNNNNNNNNNNNNNNNNNNNNNNNNNNNNNNNNNNNNNNNNNNNNNNNNNNNNNNNNNNNNAAAAUUUUGCACUAUAAUAAAUGGGUUAUAAACGGGUUAAAUGGAUCAAUUUGGGUCGGACAAUUUAUGACCCGACCCAAACCCAAGUCGACCCACUCGUUAACGGGUCUGGUUCACUGUCAUUGAAAUGACUAAUGAUCUUUUAAAUUCUCAAUUAAUGACAAAGGUGACAACAACCCAUUGGGAAAAAAAAACAAAAAAACAAGAAACGCGUGUUUCUCAACUAGUGCAUGACCAUUGUAAAAAUAUGAUGCUAAGGCUGCUCACUUGCCGGACAACGACAUCAUCUCGGUCCUGAUAGCUCCACUGGAUCAAGAUGAGAUGCUAAGUCAGUGAGGAUGCUGCAAGAUUGAGGCCUAGUUUGCCAGAUAUCAGCUACCAUCUCCUCUUUUUCACUCUCCCAUCUUUCAUCUAAGCAGCUUCCGUUUAGAAUCUGGACUACCUCCGACAUUGUGGGUCGUUUUGUUGAUGAAUCUUGGAGGCACAAGAGAGCCAGUUUGACUAAUUUCUUAGCCUCAUACUCAUCAUAGUCUCCUCUCAAGCUCGGAUCAAUCAGAGCUCCCAGCUCCUUAUGUUCCAGAAGAUAUUUCACCCGCUCAAAACCAUUCAUUUCUUGAUCCGACAAAUGAACAGGAGGCUUCAAACCAGAGACAAGCUUGAGGAGCACCAUACCAAAUGCGAAGACAUCAUUCUUUGCCGAGAGUUCCCCUCGCAUCAAAUACUCUGGAGGCAUAUAUCCAUAUGUACCACAUAUUCGAUAGGUACUGUAUAACUCUGCUGAUCUUUCCAGAGCCAAAAAGGGCCUCUUGUGGUUGUUUACUGCUUUGGUUUCAGCCAUCUGGUGUGGUGCCCCGGCGCUUUUUGACUUCUGGAUCUGCUGGUUCCAAUCUUUGUGAUUCAUGAAUUUUGCCAAGCCGAAGUCCCCAAUUAGAGGUUCAAAGUUCUCAUCCAACAAAAUGUUCGAAGGCUUUAUAUCGCAGUGAAUUAUCUGAAGACUGCAACCCUCGUGAAGAUACAAGAGCCCUCUCGCUACUCCCAAGGCAAUGUGCAUCCUGGUAGGCCAAUCGAGAGUGGGCUGUAAUGCGGUGCGCUCCUUUAACUGGGAAGCUACACUUCCAUUGACCGCCAAUGGAUAUACCAGCAGGUACUCUACCGGUUCUGUUCUUGUCUUUCCUUUCUUGACAGGUUUUUGUGGUUCCGUUGAAUCGCAAAAGCCUAGUAUUUGGAUCAGAUUCCGGUGCCUGGCCAUACUCCCAACCUCCACUUCAGCAGAGCCAGAUGGUCGGAAACAUCUCUUUAUUGCCACCAGAGAUCCAUCAAGCAAAAUUCCUCUGUAGACCGUACCAAACCCACCUCGGCCCAAAACAUUCUCUUGGCUGAAAUUGCCAGUUGCGACUUCCAGUUCCUGGUACGUAAAUUUUCGAAGCUGCACCUGGGGCUGAAGUAAUUGGAGCUUCGAGUCAUCGGAUGAUGUCUUCGGCCUCCAGCAAGAAACCUCGACGGCAGGGACAGUGAACCCGCAAGAAACGCCUUCAGCGGCUCUGCCUGCGACAGCCAUGGUUCGGGUGAAGCUCUUGCCAAGUGGAAGGCAAACGGUGGACGACGGAGGAGGAGUAGGCGGAACAAACAGAGUGGAAACAUCGACAUCCUCGGUGAGAUCGAUGGUGUAAAAUUUGAAAACCAUCUUUCUGAUGCAAUCAGUGUUGCUGGUAUGUGUCUGUAUGGUUCACGCUCUGAAAGGGUGGAAGAUUUGAUUUAAAUGGAGCCUAUGGCCCCGGUUUCACGUCAACUGGGUUGUUUCUCGGUAACAUCCUGGAAGGUACCUGCUGCUGAACUUAUUAGCCCCGGAAGCAUCCCUGCAAUUUUCCUUUUCUCCGUGUUGUAGCAAAGUCAAACCAAAUCCUGUUGCAACUUAACGUGCAACGGUGAGGGGUGCGAGACGACGACGCUUACGCUUCGUCUGGUCCCACUAGUAGGGAGACCCGCCGUCGGGUCAAAAUCAUUUCCUAAAUCGAUUUAUCUGGAAUAUACGUGUACCGACUCACGAUUGAUUAUUAAUGUUGAUAAUCGUGAAAAAAUCAACAGUAAUUUUUCGAUGUGUGGAUGGAUUUGGGAUUAGAGUGAGUGAUUUCUUUUUAGAUGAAAAAAGUUCAUGAUAGAAUUAAGAUUGGAUUUAAAGUUUGAGAUUUUUUAGGAAAUUAGAUCGUGGGACUAUAUACGUCUUUAAAAAAAAUGAUCAUGUUAACUUGUAUAUAGUUUUUUUUUUUUUUUAAGGAUUCCAUUCAUAGAAAUCAAAUAAGAAGAACUACAAACUCCAUUAUGCCAAUACUUUUUCUCAUGAUAUAUAGAAUAAAACUUGAAAAAUCAUAAAUUCUUGAUCAAUAAACAUCUUCUUCUUCUUUUUUUGACAAAAUUAGAUCAUUCUUUUUUUUAAUAAAAAAUUGACGGCCCAAUGGGGUCUGGUUUUGAAUAAGCAUUAAGUAUUUCAAAAUUAUUUCACUUUAGUUAUAAAAUAUUUUGAAUUUUCAAAAAACAAUGACACAAUAAGUGUCAUAACUUCCAUAUGACCCUCACUUGAAUGUUACAAUUUUUUUCAACCAAUUAAUUAUCAUAACUUCUAAAAAACAUUUACUUGAGUGUCAUAACUUUGAUCGAUCACUUAAAUUUGAAAUUUUUUUAUAAAUGUUUAUCCAAGUGUUAGAAAUCCAACAUAAUAUAACAUUUUAUGGGGAAUGUUUUUAAAAAGUCAUAUGACACUUAAAUCAUUAGAAAAAAGGUCAUGGCACUGGAGUUAUAAAAAAAUUAUCACAAUGGGAAAAUGUCACAAAUGGUCCAUGAACUUUCAUCUAAUAUACAAUUUUUUUUCAACCAAUUAAUUAUCAUAACUUCUAAAAAAACAUUUACUUGAGUGUCAUAACUUUGAUUGAUCACUUAAAUAUGAGCUUUCGAUUUGCUCAAUUUGGUCCAUAAACUUUUAUCUAAUGUUUAAUUUCAUCCAUGAGCUUUCGAUUUGCUCACUUUGGUCCAUGAACUUUCAUCUAAUGUUCCAUCUAGUUCCUAACUAUUUGAAAAUUGACCAAUAUCCAUUUUUUUUAAUACCAAAUUGUUUUUUUAUAAAUAAAUAAGAUACCAAACUGGUUUUUUUUUUUUGGUUGAAAAAAUGCCACAUUUACACAAAGUAAUAAAGGUCAAUAUUUCUUUCCUUUCUCCAUAUUAAAGACAAAUGGAAAAAUGAAUAGUAAUAAUAAACAAAUAUGAAUAUUGCAUUUUGAUUUCUUUUUUGUACAUGCAAAUUACUUGAAAAAUAUACAAAAGUCCAUCAAUCGAUUUUUCCCUUUUCGGUGAAGUCCAUAAAAAAAAAAUCGAUCGAUGGGCUUUUGUACAUUAUUCAAGUAAUUUGCAUAUACAAAAAAGAAAUUAAAAUGCAAGAUUCACCUUUAUUUAUUAUUACUAUCCAUUUUUCAAUUUUUUUUUAAUAUGGAGAAGGAAAAAAAUAUUGACAUUUAUUACUUUGCAUAAAUGUGGUAUUUUUUCAACAAAAAAAACCCAAUUUGGUAUUUUUUUUAUUUAUAAAAAAACAGUUUGGUAUUAAAAAAAGGAAAUUGAAUAAUUUUCAAAUAAUUAGGGAUUAGAUGAAACAUUAGAUGAAAGUUUAGGGACUAAAUUGAAAAAAUCGAAAACUUAGAAAUAAAAUUGAAUAUUAAAUGAAAGUUCAUGUACCAUUUGUGACAUUUUCCCAUUCACAAUCAAGUGAGGGCUGGUAUGGCACCGUGAUGCCUUUUUCCUGAAUUUUCAAUCAACAAAAAAAGAAAAAGUUAAUUUACUCGUAACUUCCGAAGCAACUCUCGCCCCUGCAACUGAAACUCUCCCACCAUCUCCUGGAAGUGAGAAGCUUUCUUCCGUCUCCUUCCUCUAUCGCGCAUUUCGCAAUUCUAAUGCAUUCGAGCUUUCGAAGGAUCGCCUCCUCCGACGUCCACCUCUCCCUGACCCGCCGCCACCGCGUCAUCUGCAGGCCCAUCUCUACUUCAUCGCCGCCCCAGGACCCCACAGAGCCCUUAACGCAGCCGCAGCUCAAAACCCUCGUCCUCAGCCGCUACACCAAGAAUGGCAAGUUCUCCGGCCUCGCCCGCCACGUCCUGGCUUCGCCCUCUGUCCUCCUCGCCGCCCCAAGCCUUCCCGAGGCGGCUCCCCUGCCUCCGCCUCCUUCUUCUUUACUCAAGUCGGUGUCGAGGCGCUUCUCGCUCUCCGAAAUGGGCUGCGAGAUCACCGAGGGCCAGUUCGACUCGCGGCGUGCUGCGUCGCGAUGGCGCCCUCGAGCAAGAAAGGUGAGCCCCUGCUCCUGCCCGGCUUGAAACUGAAGGUCUUGAUCGAUGCCCUCAGGAUGGUUCCGGAGGUCGUAUAUAACGAGAGGUUCGCGACUUUCGCUUACGGCAGGCAGGUCGGCAUGGGGCGCCACACGGCUGUGCGAUACUUGAAAACCUCUCUGCAGAAUCCCAGCUGGUGGUUCACUGUGAAAUUCGACAGACAGAAGUUUGACUGUGCACAUGCGAGCAAACUGUGUAAGGUCAUUGAAGAGAAAAUCGACGAUUCUCUUUUCAUUGAUUUGAUAAGGAGGCUGUUUGAGUGCCAAGCCGUGAGCAUUGAAUUGGGCGGGUGUUAUUUGGAGAGAGGGUUUCCUCGAGAGCGGCUUGUAUGCAAUUUUGAUUAACAUAUACUUCAAUGGACUCGACAAGGAAAUUCAGGAUUCGCCAAACCCGAAUGUGCAUGUCCAGACAAGCGUCAUGAUUAUAAUAGUUUACAAAAACCUUAUGAACACAUAGGUUAUCUUUAUCAAUUAAUCGAGCAGUCUGUCAUCAGUAACAAGCAUCAAACACCACAAAUCUUCACGAAAGAUGUGAAAUAUGCAUACGUCAAAAUAUGCAGACAAUGACAGCGACUUUAAUUGGGUCACUCUACACUAAAGUUAUAAGCGUUCCCUUCAGGGCGUCUCCAUGGUGACCUCUCUGUACACGCUAUAGCUAAUUUAACCAACUUCAGCAUCUCUUCUUCCACGUACUUCCCUUGCAAAGAGCGGUCAAUUAGCACAUCCAGAUUCCUUUCAUCAAAAGCACUUUUCACCCAUUCGAACACAUUACAGUCAUUGGCAAUCGAGCCAGAUCCAAAAUGCUCCUUCCCGUUAUCACUUUGAGAAGCAUGACCCCAUAUGCAUAUACAUCAGUCUUUGUCGAACAUAUCCCAGUGAUGAAGUACUCAGGAUCCACAUGCCCAUGUGUUCCAGCCACAUUACUUUCGACGCAAAUUUCUUCAUAGUCCAUCAACACUGCCAGUCCAAAAUCUGAGAGAGCCACUCGGUAUUUCUCAUCCAACAGAACAUUCGAAGCUUUAAUAUCUCGAUGGAUGAUCUUGGGAUCGCAGUCUUCAUGCAAGUAAGCAAGUGCCUUGGCAACUCUGGUCGCAACACUUAUCCUUACUGACCAUUCUAGGGAGGUCCCUAAAGAUUUGACAGAGAUGAUCUCAAGUGAUUUGCUACGCUUCCACGAGGCAUAACGGAUAAACUAGAAAUAGUUCUGUAGGUAUGAUGCAAAACCCAAGCAGACUGAGCACGUUGCGGUGCUUGACUAUGCUGCUCACUUUCAGUUCCGUCAGGAGCAAUCUCUUGACAGCUACUAGAGAACCGGCCACUAAGCUUCCCUUAUAAACCGUGGAAAAUCCGCUCUCACCCAGAACACGGGCAAAAUUGUUUGUCGUAAGUUGUACCUCACGUAGAGAAAACCUCCUGACUAGUCCUAGGUGUCUUUCCAAAUCCUCUUCAGAAGGCAUACAAUUACUUGAAGAAUCCCCCGGUUGCCUCUUCAAGACUCGCGGCCACCAUGGAAGCUGGCUUGGUAGGGCUGGGCAUGAAGAAACGGAGGGAGCUGCCUCUCCUUUCACGAUAGACCUUACAAAAUUGCACCUUGAUUUGCCAAAGGAUAGUGAUGAAGGAGGACUCGCUGGCGGCGACGAACCUGGGCGGGUAUUGAACAUGUCCUCUAUGUAACUGGAGCUUAGCGUUGGAAUAAUUAAAUAUUAAACAACGCUUUCGUCUAACAGUUUAAACUUUUAGAACAGUUAACAGUAGUCUGACAAAAUCUCAGAUGAUAUCAAAGCUAGAUGUUUUGAGUUCAAAUUUUUUAAGAUCCCAUUUACCACCCCAAUUAAAUAUGUCCACACUUAGUCCUAGUUAAAAAGAUCAGACUAAGUGUGAGGAAGUGUUGAAAUAAUUAAAUAUUAAACCACACUUUUGGAAUAAUUAAGUAUUAAAUCAAGCUUUCGUCUAACAGCUUGAACAGUCGGUAGUAGUCCCACAAAAUCUCACACUUAGUUUGAACGCCAUUUGAAACCUAGAUAGAUGAGAGUCACUUCCGACUUCUCAAAGCUUUGAUGCAAGAAGCGCUUGAACUUGGUGGGAAAAGAUUACAAGAAUGAGAAAUGAGGUAGUUGUGUCGAAGUCUUUGAUCUAUCAUUCCAGGCUGAACUGAGGGAAUUACAAGUGGGCAUGGCCACGGAUAAUCUGUGGAGCCGCCGCAUUUCGGUUUGACUCUUUUUGGCGAAUUUUUCUAAGUAGAGACGUCACAGCACAAUAGACACCAUUUUUUAUCGAAAUGGUUGAAAGACUUUGAGCCGAUAACCUUGACCAGCCUGAUUAAUCAAAAGUUGUGGUUUGAACUUGGAAGAGGUUGAACUUUUAUAAUUCCCAUUUAUUCACUCGACUCAGAUUCUGGAAUUACUCCACAAUCGACUGUAAUCUCAAUAAACUCCGUGAAACAGCGGCCAAAGGGCAUAAAGUGAAGGGAGUCUGUGGACAGACUUGUGACCACUCCAGCCGGAGACUCCAGCUGAGAUCAAUCCUCUCGUGGCUCUGAUGGGUCCAGUGAUAGAUGGCAUUUAGGGAAACCCACCAGAGCCGAUAAUCAUGCUCUGGUCACGCGGACAUGAUUUGUCCAAAAGAUGUCAUAGUUUUUAUUGAUACACUUAUGUUAUGAACUCGUUAUGAUUGGCAUUUGUAAGGGCCCUCGCAAGUGAAGGUUCGUCCCAAUUCUGAAUCUGCUAUUUCUUUUGAAUACUAGUGUUGCUUGCUAUUUCUUUUGAAUACUAGUGUUGCUUGUUUUUGGCCUGAAGGCUAGAGCCAGAUGAAGAAUUGGCUCGGCCGCAAAUACAGUUCUGCUCAUACAAUUGGCAAAUUCUUAAUCUACACAAACUCAAAAAGACAGUUAUCUAAGGGUAGCUACGAUCGGACACUUUCUGUCUUAGGCGCAUGCUAUAUGCUGUGAAAGUUAUCAAGAAGCGGAAGACUGAUAGGCACAGACCAGUGCUGAUUAAUUCUUGCAUUUCUUUGACACUGCUACAUUGUCUGGUUGACUGUCACUGACGCCAUUAUGAGGUAGAUGCCCGAAGGGAGCUUGCGUUCUGUGAACCUGAUGGUCGGGUAAGAGAACAUUUGAGUUUCGUUGUACUCAUGCCAGAAACAUCUGGAGCAGAAGCUUUUUUUCAGAUUAACUUUAAUAGGCAUUUCAAGGAAGCAAAAGAAGAAUCGGACACCAUGAAGUCCUUAAUGUUCUGCCAUCUGAGAACAUUAAAGACAACUUGGUCGGGAAACUGAUUUAUAAUUUGCCUUUGCCUUUCCCUACAUUAGAUAUAAAAAAAAUACGUAAACCAGAUGAAAACGAAACGAAGUUGUUUGUAGCUGUCGAAUUAUAAAGUUCAUUACAUGAAGAAAGUGUUUGCUCUGGUCUGGCACUACAACACUUGUGACAACAGAGGUUUCCUCUCUUACAUUAGAAAACAUAAAACUAGAUGGCCAUCUGUGGAAAUCUUCCCCUUCCUGGAAUGGAACUUGGGAGAACAGCAGAUGCUCUUCAGAAAGUUCUAUCUUCUUGAGUCAUCCACCUAAGUGUCCUUCAGGAACUCAGAGAUUCACCUAUACCUAACAGAUACAAAAUAUUAAAAAUAAAAAGAUGAGGGGAGUCUGUCAGACAGCCGUGUAACCAUCCCAGGCGCGUAACUCCGACUGAGAACACGAUCCUACUACAGCUCUAAUGGAUCCAAGCAGGACCCAUCAGAGCCGUUAAUCACGCUCUGAUCACACGGUCAUGGUUCAUCCACCAGACUAUGGCUCGUCUUCUUAGGUCUCAAGGACGCAGAGGUAUGGACCUACAGAACAGAUCCUGUUCAAGUAAGGUCGUGACCCCCAUUUGGAUUAUUCUUCGAGCGCACUCUCGAUGUGGGACUUUAGGAGGUCGCACGCAUAAAGUGCACUCAACCCACAACCUCCCUCCCCUGGUUUCUUCUCCUUUUUUUCCCUCUGUUUUCCUGUUUGUCGUCUCGCAACUUAGCUUGGGGCGCUUGUUAGUGUUUUCGUUUGCAGGUCCUUUGCGUUCAACAGAGAAUGCAACUUUUCCUGAAUGUAAAAGUGAACUAUGCUUUGCUGUUGCAGAGCCGAAGAGUCUUGUCAUUUUUAGUAGAGGAGAGAUGCAUUAAAUGGCUGAUAGUCCAUGGCUGUCGAUCUGGCUCGGCAUAAUCCAACACAGUUUUCAAGCCCACUUGAGAGAGAGAGAGAGAGAGAGAGAGAGAGGGAGAGGAUACAAAUUAUUAUUUUUAUGAGACUCACUACGUUUAUCAUCUCCUUUUCAAAUCAACCUUUCUACCAGGUGUCGAAGGAGGAUUGUAGGAGGAGACAUGUCCCUUCCUCCUCCUUUUUUCCCUAUUUUUUUUGCUAUUCCAUUUCUAUCUUAACUUUACUUUUCAAAGUAUCAAUAAGGGAUGAAAAUUAUGAGCCAAAUAUAAAGUUAUUUGUAGAUAUUUUAGUUCUCAAAAGUUCAUAUUUGCAAGCGUGUGUCAUUCUAAAUUACUAUUGAACAAAGAUAUUGACCAAUUGAAUGGAUGAAAUCAAAAUAGUAUCUAUCCAUAUUAAAUUAAAAGUUGAACAAUUCCAUAAUUUCUUGUUUCGUCAGACAUACCUCAAAAUUUGAAAUUAAAACUACUCUUAAUAUACCUUUAUACGAAGUCCUCAACUCCAAGUCUUACAUAAGUCAGCUUUUGGCAAAAAUAAUGGAGGCGGGACUUUUCUUUGUGGAUGAAAAAUGAAAGAAGAAGAGCUGGAGAGAGAGAGAGAGAGAGAGAGAGAGAGAGAUGGCUGUCCCAAGUAUGUCUGGCUUGGUCUUUAUAGUUCCUUGCUUUUCCAUAUAUAAUCAUUAGCUUAAGCCACUUUAUCAAGCAAAAGAGUUGCAGAAGAUAAACAACGUGGUUUGUAGUGUAUUAUAUUAUAUACCUAUGUAAUGGCCUCAGUAUGUCACAACUAACACAUAUACUAAAGUAUUUUCACUUUUUAAGUAUGCAAAAGCAUGUACGGUUAAAGUACACUCAAGACAUAUAAAAAUUCGAAGGAACACACACGGGGAUGCAAACCCAACAAUCUCAUUUCAUUUCUUAUUUAUAUAUGUUUUAGGUGAUAAGGUCAAGGUACACCGGGGGACGAGCCAAAAUACCACUACUUUGUACCAUACCCAAAAGCUCUAGUAGAUGUACCAUCCCGACCUAGAUACUAUGUAUGUACCAUGUCAUCUGUCUCCCACCCACAAUACGUCCAAAAUAUUGGCCCAGUCUUCCCAAAAUGCUACUGAUUUGAGAAUAAUGAUCAACUACGAGUGAGUACAAAGCUCAACAAGCAAACUAUUAAUCAGUCUAUACCACAUAAGCUAGUAAUAGCACAAGCGAGGAAGUUUAAUAUACAAGACAAAAUAUCAUUAUGAUAUCAACUUACCUAAAAACUUUUUUUUUAAAAUCAGGAUAGCAAAUAGAAAACAUUUCCUCUGAAAACAGUAAUCCAGUAAAACUUGAAUAAAAUCUAAAAAUGCCAAUGAUCAUCUUUAUUAUGAAUUAGCUGCCACCCUCUUCUAGGGAACCCCAUUACCUCCCAAACAUCUUGCACUCAUCCAAUAUCGCGAGGACAUCUGAGGGAACCGUAUUACAUCCACUAGGCAUCCAAAGGAAUCCAGUUACCUCUCCAACCAUCCCCAUUACAACCCGGGGCAUCGUCGUCUCAAGGACCGACAAUAUUCCCAAAUCACACACUUAUCCCAUGGUGUAGCAAUUCAAUAAUUCAAUUUAACAUGCCAUCCACCAAACUAAUGCACAAGAAUCAAAUUGAUUUCAAAAUCCUUUGUCCAUUUGUAAAUCAAAGAAAUGGUACAAAACAGUUUGUCCGCGAUGCUAGUUCAAUAAGGUUAUGAAAGGAGUUUAUUCAAAAUCUCAAAAUUGAUGGUAAAAGGGGCAAAUCACAAGGAAUCACCAAGUAAAUUAGUUUCAAAAAUUACAAAACUUUAGCAUGAUGUGGAGGAGACUCUAAGGAACGUUUUUCCUGAAUAACUCAAAACCUAGUUCAGCUUGUACAUGUCUCAAUAAUUUUAUAUAACUUGGGUCAAAACAGGGUAAAUUUUCAUGAUAAAACAACCAAAAUUGGGCGUUUUGAAAGCAUAAAUGAGUUCCAAAAAUCACGGGAAAAUUACAUGUUAUAUUUGAAUAUGUGGUCUAAAAUUUCAUGAAGAAAAUUUGUCGAAAACUCUGUGGAAAAUAAAAAUCGAGUAAAGGUCAAUAAAAAUCCGAGAAAACAGUUUCAAACUCGAUUCAGUUUUUCAAAUAUACUUUGAACAUAUGAAGUCCAAAAAAUCUGAAAUUAAAGUAUGCUAUAGAACAAAGUAUAAUAAGCGGCUUUCGCAAGAAAGCCUCACAAAAUUCGUACAAGAAAAACCAGUAUAAAAUUGGAAAAGUACGGUCUAUAGUGAACUGAACCAAAAAUAGCUGUAUCCUCGGAUUUGUCCAUAACUCAUGCUAUUUAAGCUCAAACCAGCACAAAUCUCAACAUCCAAUAUGUCAACAACACAUUAGUGAGCUCAAUAAACCAUAAUUUCAACAAUGCUCGCAAUGUACAUUUUUUGAAAUCGCUGACUAACACGACUAUGUACAAAAUCAACCAAGACGAUUAAAAUCUAAGGUAAUCGACCUCAACAUGUGGCAAUCAACCUACAUAGCACAAGAAGGAAGGCAGUUUACUUGCCUCAAGUCCCUAGAAAUGUCUUGUGUUAGUUAGCAAGGUUGCGACAACUUGAGUUACGGUUGCUCCUCUGGCAGUUUGAGACUGUCACACCCCAAAACUACAAGGAAUGGGGAUGACAUAGCCAACCUUCCAUGAAUUAUAUAUAUAUCUCAAGCUAUAUAUAUACAUAUCAGAUAACUAACAAAUUUCUUGCUACAUUAGAGUUUCUAUAAUUCACCAAAAAGAAAUAUACAUUUAGAACUCAACCAGUCCAACCACUAGCGAAGAUUAUGCACACUACUUUCUUAAACCAUACCCAAAAUAGAAUUCCCAAAAGUUUUCCAAAAGCACUCUCAUCCUACUAGUUGCUAACCCUAGGACCUAAAAACAUGGAAGAUGAAUGGAAUGAGCAACCAUAACUCAGUGAGUAGUAUAUACCAUAAAAGCAUAUCAAACUUCCGCAUUCCACAUUUAAAACUCAAGACAUGACUCAUUAUUGCCAAACAAAAUAUGAUAACUUGCAUGAACAAAAUGUGUUAAAUGUUACCUUAACCUAGCUAUAUCAAAUAGCCAAAUUUUCCAUUCAUCCAUAAUAACAAAACUAGCAUGGACUCAUCCUAUCUCAUAUCAAUAGUUCAUUCCACACUCAAUAUCCAAACUCACGGCCCUAAAGGUGACUCUCACGAAAUUGCGUUAUCGUGUAACACUUAGCCCUUGACCACAUAUAGCAAUAGUACAAGGCCCUAGAGGUAGCUUCCACGAAAUUACGUUAUCGUGUAGCACUUAGUCAUUUACUAUGCAUGUCAAUAGUACAAGGCCCUAACUCCGAAACUACUCCGAUUGGAAGGACGAAAGGUGCGAUAACUUACCGGACUUUGUAAAUAAGCUUGGUGAGCUACCUACGGCGUGAACAUACAAAGCCCUCUCUCUUCUUUCUUCUUCUUCUUCUUUCCUCUUUUCUUUUGCUGCCUGAACGCGGUCUUUCCUUUCCUUUUUAUCUCUUCUCCUUUUUGUUUUCUUUUUAUUUCUUUAUUUAAAGUGGGUCCCACUUCCUUUUCUUUGACUUUUUAAAAAAUCUCUAAUAUUACAUUCUACCCUCUUUACAAAAAUUUCAUCAUCGAAAUUUAUAUGUACUUCAAUCAUGAAACAAGUGAGGGUAUUUGCGUCUUGCCUCCUCCUCAAGUUCCCAAGUAGCCUCUCUCUUGGUGUGAUUUUGCCAUUGUAUUUUCACAUAAUGAAUAGUUCGUCAAUGCAGCACCUAAUCCUUCUUAUCAACAAUGUGAAUAAGCUGCUCCUCAUAUGUCAAGUUCUCCUGUAAUCUCAAUGGGGUAAAAUCUAGUACAUGUUCAGGAUUUGGCACAUAUUUUCGCAAUAAAGAAACAUGGAACACAUUAUGGACACCUGAUAACGCCGAUGGUAAAGCCAAUUUAUAAGCAACUUCACCAAUCUUCUCUAAGAUCAAGAACGGUCCCACGUACCUUGGACUUAACUUCCCACGUGUGUCAAAUCUCAAUACAUCCUUCGUAGGAGAAAAUUUUAAGAAUACGUGAUUCCUUACACUAAAUUCUAACUUGCGUCUUUUAAGAUCCACAUAACUUUUCUGACGACUUUGAGCCGUUCUGAGACGUUCCCGAAUUAGCCUAACUUUCUCUUAUGACUGUUGAAUGAACUCAUGAACUCAAGGCCAGUUAGUCUUUUCUCACCAACAUCAUCCCAACAAAUAGGACUUUUGCAUUUUCGGCCAUAUAAAGCUUCAAAGGGUGCCAUUUUAAUGCUAGAGUGAUAACUGUUGUUAUAAGAAAAUUCUGCCAAAUGUAGAUGUUCAUCCCAAGAACCGCCAAAGUCAAUGAUGCAUGAUCUCAACAUAUCCUCUAAUGUCUGGAUCGUUCUCUCUGACUGUCCAUCUGUUUGUGGAUGAAAAGCUGUACUCAAGUUGAGUUUAGUGCCCAAUGCUCCUUGCAAACUCUUCCAAAAGUUAGACACGAAUUUGGGAUCCCUGUCAGAAACAAUGCUUAAUGGAACUCCAUGAAGCUUCACUAUGUCAUUAACAUAUCGCUUUGCCAUAUCUUCCAUUGAAAGGGGAAAUCGAUAUGACAAAAAGUGAGCGGACUUAGUCAAUCGGUCAACAAUCACCCAUAUAGCAUUCUUACCACUUGGCGUGCUCGGUAGACCAACUACAAAGUCCAUGGUGAUAUGUUCCCACUUCCAUUUAGAUACUUCUAGAGGUUGUAACUGUCCACCUAGUUUCUGAUGCUCAAUUUUCACUUACUGGCAAACUAGACAUUGAUCGACAAAUUUUACAAUAUCAUUUUUCAUGUUGACCCACCAAAAUUUUUCUCUCAAGUCUCUAUACAUUUUAGUGCUUCCAGGAUGAAUUGAAAAUCUAGUGUUGUGAGCUUCCUACAUGAUUUCCUUUUUCAGCUUUGAGUCCUCCGGAACACAUAGUCGACCACAAAACCUCAAGGAUCCAUCUAUGUGUAAACUAAAAUCCGCUUGUCUUCCAACUUCCAUACCUUCUCUAAAUUUUUGUAAUUGUAGAUCUUCAUUCUGUUUAGCCUUAAUUAUGUCAAUCAACAUCGGUUGUACUUAAAAAGGUUAGCUAACUGAGCACCAAGCUAAUGUACCAAUACUUCCAAGUCUAAUUUCCGCAUAUCUUCAAGGAUGGGUUUCUAAGAAGUGAGCAAAGUUGCCAUGUUUCCAAAGGAUUUACGACUCAAAGCAUCUGCUACGACAUUAGCCUUACCCGGAUGGUAAUUAAUGGACAAGUCAUAAUCCUUCAAAAGUUCUAGCCAUCUUCUUUGCUCAUGUUCAGUUCUUUUUUAGUAAAGAUAUAAUUUAGAUUCUUGUGAUCGGUAAAGACUUCACAUUUUUCACCAUACAAAUAAUGCCGUCAUAUCUUCAAGGCAAAUACAACUGCCACUAACUCCAAAUCAUGAGUGGGGUAGUUCUUCUCAUAUAAUUUCAAUUACUUAGAAUAGGCAACAACUUUGCCAUCUUGCAUAAGAACACAACUAAACCUUCUUUGGAUGCGUCGCAGUAGAUUACGAAGCCGCUACUUAUUGAAGGUAGAGUUAGAAUAGGAGCUGACACCAGCUGUCUCUUCAACUCUUGAAAACUGCGCUCACAUUGGUCUGACCAUUCAAAUUUAACUCUCUUUCGAGUUAGACGAGUAAGUGGACCAGCAAUCCUUGAGAAUCCCUCUACAAAUCGCCUAUAGUAGCCGGCUAGCCUAAGGAAAUUUCUCACUUCUGUAACAUUAGUUGGGCGAUUCCACUUAACAACUGGUUCAACCUUCUUUAGAUCCACUAAUAUGCCAUCCUUCGAGAUCACAUGACCCAAGAAUUCUAUAUGAUCAAGCUAGAAAUCACACUUACUAAAUUUGGCAUACAACUUCUUUUCAUGCAAAGUCUGCAAGACAAGUCUCAAAUGUUGUUCGUGUUCCUCUAACUCUUCGAAUACACUCGGAUGUCAUCAAUGAAUACCACAACAAAUUUGUCUAGAUAUUCCCUGAACACCCUAUUCAUCAAGUCCAUGAAGGCAGCAGGCGCAUUUGUUAAUCCAAAAGGCAUGACAAGAAAUUCAUAAUGGCCAUACCUUGUUCUGAAAGCAGUUUUAGGCACAUAAUCUACUUUUAUCUUCAACUGAUGAUAUCCAGAACGAAGGUCAAUCUUGGAGAAUACCUAAGCUCCCUGAAGUUGAUUAAAUAAAUCAUCAAUCUGGGGCAAAGGACAUCUGUUUUUUACCGUUACCUUAUUAAGCUCUCGGUAAUCUAUGCAAAGCCGCAUACUACCAUCUUUCUUUUUCACAAAUAGAAUAAGAGCUCCCUAAGGCGAAACACUGGAUCUGAUGAAACCCUUAUCCAAAAGAUCUUGUAGCUGCAUUUUCAAUUCUUUCAAUUCGGCGGGUGCCAUCCGAUAUGGUGCCUUAGAGAUUGGUGUUGAACCGGGCAUUAAUUCAAUACAAAACUCCAUUUCUCUAUUAGGAGGCAAACCUGGUAAAUCUUCGCUUGUAAAGCUGAGAUCAACAUUGGAAAAGUGUCUUGACAACCUCCUGAAAAAGAGAAUUCGGGUUGAUUUGGAAGUCUAAAGAUCACUUUCUUUGAAAAAUAGUCAACAGUAGCACGAUAUGUAGAUAACCAAUCCAUCCCUAUAAUAACAUUGAAAUCUCGAAUAUUUAACACCACUAGAUCCACAGGCAUUUCAACAUUAUUAAUCCAAAGCAUAUAUCUUUUGAACACAUGAUGAGCAACUAAGAAAUCACCAGUAGGAGUAUCAACAUGCAAUUCACACUCAAGAGGUUCAGGUAACACGUCAAGCUUCUUUGCAAAUUCAGUUAAAGUGAAUGAAUGCGUAGCACCGGAAUCAAAUAACGCAUAAGCACGUUGUGAGGUAAUAGAAAUAUAACUUGCAACAACUGCGUUAGACGCCUCCGCAUCCUCCUUUGUCAUCACAAAAACUUUCCCACUUGCAUUCUGUUUUUGUGGGUUCCCUUGGGACCUACCAAUGGAAGGAGCAUUCCUCCACAUAGAACAAUUGCGUGCGAUGUGUCCUGAUUGUCCACACAUAUAACAUAUCCUACCAUCCGUAGGAAUAUUCCUCUUCGUGGGGCAAUCACGUGCCAUGUGUUCCAUUUUUCUGCAAACAAAACAUGCUCCUAAUUUACGAUAACAAUGACUGCCAUGAAGUUUUCCACAAGUAGCACAAGGGCUUUGACCACUUUCAUUUCAAGACCUACCUAGCUGAUUGAAAUCUCUUUGCUUCCCGCUAUCACUAGUACGAUUGUCCUGGUAAUUGGUGGGCUUAAAUCUCUUGUGUUGAAGUGCUCCUUGUGUGCCACGCUCCAAAAUGUCUUGCUCGACCCUAAUUGCUCAAUUCAAAACAUCUUUGUAUGUUGUUAGUUCAAAUGGUAUGAGUAUAGUACGAAUAUCCGGUCGGAGCUCACGCUGAAAGUGGUCACCCCUACGCCUUUCAUUAGCCGCAAAACCAUCCUCAAAUUAACUUAACCGAUUAAAGCGGGUCGCAUACUCCAUAACUGUUAAGCUACCUUGAGAUAUAUUGACAAAGUCGCUUCUCAUCUUCGCUUGAAAAGAUUCUGGAAAGAAUUGGGCGUUAAAAGCCUUAGUGAAGUCCUUCCAUGAAAUGAUUGCAUCAUUAUCUCCAAGAGCCGAUCUAGUUCCUUCCCACCAGCCAAUAGCUUCGCCUUCUAAGCAUCGAGUGGCAAAGUUGAUUUUUUGGUCAUCACGAACAUUCUCGGCUCUAAAAACCUCCUCCAUGUUUCUAAUCCAAUCAUCAGUCUUGAGAGGAUCUAACUUCCCAUCAAACUUAGGUGGAUCCGCCUUUUGGAAUUGGGCAAAGGUGCAUGAGCCAGCUACUCCACCUUCACUUAAUUCUUUCGCUUGACGAUACCAGUGGAUCAUCGCCUGCAUGAACUUAGUCAGAGGAAUCAGCUCUUGGGGCUCUUCCCUAGUUUCAUCCAAAUCAGGACUCCCAUCAAAUCGGUCCUCUAGUCUCCUCCUUAAAGUUGCCCCUUAAAAAGCUUGAGGCUUAUCUCUAGUAUUAAGAGUAGCGACUCGCUUGCCUUUGUUGUUUUUACGAAGCGAGGCAAAUGUCUCUGAAUCGAUACGCAUGAUCACCUAGACUCAAGAAUAAGAUCACACCUUAGUAUCAAAAAGGUCAGCACAUUAAAACCUAUCAUGACAUCUCUCAACACCCCAUAUCUCUACUUAGAAAGAUAAAAACUUUGGCUCUGAUACCAAAAGAUGUCACACCCCAAAACUACAAGGAUCGAAGAUGACAUGGGCAACCUUCCAUGAAUUAUAUAUAUCUCAAGCUAUAUAUAUACAUAACAGAUAACUAACAAAUUUGUUGCAACAUUAGAGUUUCUAUAAUCCACCAAAAAGAAAUGUACAUUUAGAACUCAACCAGUCCAACCACUAGCGAAGAUUAUGUACACUAUUUUCUUAAACCAUACCCAAAAUAGAAUUCCCAAAAGUUUUCCAAAAGCGCUCUCGUCCUACUAGUUGCUAACCCUGGGACCUGAAAACAUGGAAGAUGAAUGGAAUGAGCAACCAUAGCUUAGUGAGUAGUACAUACCAUAAAAGCAUAUCAAACUUUCACAUUACACAUUUAAAACUCAAGACAUGACUCAUUAUUGCCAAACAAAAUAUGAUAACUUGCAUGAACAAAAUGUGUUAAAUGUUACCUCAACCUAGCUAUAUCAAAUAGCCAAAUUUUCCAUUCAUCUAUAAUAACAAAACUAGCAUGGACUCAUCCUAUCUCAUAUCAAUGGUUCAUUCCACGCUUAAUAUCCAAACUCAAGGCCCUAGAGGUGACUCCCACGAAAUUGCGUUAUCGUGUAGCACUUAGCCCUUGACCAUAUAUAGCAAUAGUACAAGGCCCUAGAGGUGUUUCCCACAAAAUUACGUUAUCGUGUAGCACUUAGUCAUUUACUAUGCAUGUCAAUAAUACAAGGCCCUAACUCCAAAACUACUCCGAUUGGAAGGAUGAAAGGUGUGAUAACUUACCGGACUUUGUAAAUAAGCUUGGUGAGCUACCUACGACGUGAACAUACAAAGUCCUCUCUCUUCUUUCUUCUUCUUCUUCUUCUUCUUCUUUAUUUCUUCUUCUUUCCUCUUUUCUUUUGCUGCCCGAAUGUGGUCUUUCUUUUCCUUUUUAUCUCUUCUCCUUUUUUUUCUUUAUUUAAAGUGGGUCCGACCACCUUUUCUUUGACUUUUUCAAAAAUCUCUAAUAUUACAAAGACAAACCGAGAAACAUGAACAGGAACAUCGCUGGCUAGUUGGUUGGUUGAACGAGGGCACGUCGCCGGCGAAGGUGGCGGUGAGUCGUGGUGUUGUGUGGCCAAGGGACUGAACGAAAAGGGCGGGAUGUGAACGUGUCUGGGUGUUGCCGAAGGAUGAAUGAAGAAACAUAGGCUGGUUGGAUUUAAAUUUUUGGUUCUUCUCUCUGCUCACCAUCUUUGCAUGGUCAUGGUCAACAUUUUCAUCUCAUGGCUACCCCAUGGAGAAGACAGAUAGAGGGUAACAUGGCUUGGCUGGGCAAAUUUUCAUUUGCCUCUUUCACUGUUUCAUGGGCGUGGUUAACAUUUGAUUGCCACAUUACUCCUACUCGUGGCAGCCCAAGGAGAAGCCAGCUAGGUGAGGUUACAUGGGUUUGGGGCUGAAGACUCAGCAAAAAUUUUGGUGCCUCUCUUGCCAUAGAAGGCAACCAAUUGAAGCGCCAAUUGGAGAAGACUCGGGUAGGCCGAGCGGUGCGGCAACAUGGUGGUGCAGCGGUGACACGAUGAUGAGGUGGCGUGGUGAUGAUGGGGACGAGCUGAGGUGGCAAGUCCUUGCAGUGGUGUGGUCUGAUGACGAGCUCGUUGACAUGACGUGAACCGCUAAGCAUUCAAGACUCGUUAUCCCGUCGAGCGAAAAUCCGGAUGUUGCAACUUAUAUCUCCGACGGCUACACGGGAAGACCCCGUGCAUCUUAACUAUAGUUUCGUAGUGACAACCUUGCUCGAAUGUGUAGGAUAGGUGGGAAGGUGACGUGAACCAUUAAGCAUUCGAGACUCGUUAUCCUGUCGAGCAAAUCCGGAUGUUACAACUUAUAUCUCCAAUGGCUAGGAGGGAAGACCCCAUGCAUCUUAACUAUAGUUUCAUAGUGACAACCUUGCUCAAAUGUGUAGGAUAGGUGGGAGGUGGUGAUGCAUAACGAUCAAUCAUGAAAUAUCACUCUUUCAUCUAAGGAUACCUAAUCAUCAAUUCGAGGAUUCGAGGAUUAUUUGCUUGUGUUAUUUUUUUUGGAAUCCACGUGCGAUUUGUGACACAUGGCUUUUGUUUGUAUUUUUAGCUAGGAAGAAAUUAUAGCAUGUGCUUUACUUUCAUUGAAAUGAAUCAUGAUCUUUUAAAAUCUAAAUUGAUGACAGUGAUGACGACAGCCAUCGACCAAAUUCCAGAGAAAAGGGAAGCGCGUGUUUCUCGACUAGUGCAUGACAGUUGUGCUUGCUUCUAGGACAAAGGCAUCAUCUCAGUCCUGAUAGCUCCUCUAGAUCAAGAUAAGAUGCAGUGUCGGAGAGAGUGUUGCCAGAUUUAUCUCGCAUAUAAGCAAGUAUGUUGUUUUUGAAAGAGCAGAGAAUGAGUUGAUAGCAAAAGCUGUGUAUAUUAUUCAGAAAUUGAAAAAUGCUUAAAUACAUACUAAAACUUAACCAUAAACCCAUGUUGCCCACUAACAGCUUGCUUGGUCCACAAAACCAGCAACAAACUAAUAGAAUAGCUAAAAAGCAUGCAUCUAAUUGCUCUUAUAAGGUAAGAUUGACCAAGUAAAACAACAAUUAACUAACUCCCAGAUAACAAGACAUCAAUNNNNNNNNNNNNNNNNNNNNNNNNNNNNNNNNNNNNNNNNNNNNNNNNNNNNNNNNNNNNNNNNNNNNNNNNNNNNNNNNNNNNNNNNNNNNNNNNNNNNNNNNNNNNNNNNNNNNNNNNNNNNNNNNNNNNNNNNNNNNNNNNNNNNNNNNNNNNNNNNNNNNNNNNNNNNNNNNNNNNNNNNNNNNNNNNNNNNNNNNNNNNNNNNNNNNNNNNNNNNNNNNNNNNUUAAAAUGCUUUGUUCUUCCCAUGAAAUGUUGGAUCUUAUGAAAUGCCUAGAGUAGCUUGAUUAUCCCACAAAUACUUAUAUGUCUUCUUCUUGCUGCAUAUGCAAAUCAUCCAUCAGCUUCUUCAACCAUAAUGCUUGAUUCAUAGCUGCAGUAGCUACAAUGAACUCAGCUUCUGCAGUUGAUUGAGCCACUAUUUCCUGCUUCUUUAACACCAAGAAAAACAUGCAAACCCAAAUGUAAAGCAAUAACCUGAAGUGCUCCUCAUAUCAUCCACCGAUCCUACCUAGUCACUUUCAGAAAACCCCUGCAUCUCAAACUCCCGAACUCUGUAAAACUUAAUCCCAUAUGAAAGAGUAUCUUUUGAAAGUGCGAGUAUGAACACCUAGAGGGGAGUGAAUAGGUGCGAAGAAAAUUUUUCGUGCAUCGUAGUAAAAUAUUUUGCUUCGCAUAUGAGUGUGAAGACCAACAAACUUUUGGAACGAACUCUGUGACACCCCUCGAUGGCCCCCGCCCCGUUAGAGUUACCACUGUAUAGAUUACCAUUCUCUUGCUUGACCCGAAGGUCUAUCAAUCCUGGGGGUUUACAUCUUUUAGAUCGGUCCCUGCGCAAUUUAUAUGGUGGAAGCACAUCCAUCAACUCAUUUCCCUAUAUUCAGAAAAUAAUGCGCACCAACUAAACAUUUAUAGGUAAAAGCCGAACACUUUUAUUUACCUAAACCAGAUGGACAUCAUUCAUCGGUACAUUAAAAUGCCGUAGUCUUCUAUACUCAGUUAUACUUCAAAAGAUGACCGAAAACUUUUUCAACAGUCGUAUACUUAAAGUCCAUCGUUCAGUGUCGGCGUCCAAAAUUUCCUUCCUUUGCUAUCCUCCUCCUCGCGGUCAUAUCCAACCACUCAAUCCAUCCACCGAUAGCAGUGGCAACAGAUGUAUCUUGUCUAGUCUGAAAUGUUAGUCCCCAAACGGGGUGAGUACAGCCAUUCAGCAGUAAAGAUCCAUCAAACUACACAAUGCAACAAGCAAGACGACCACAAUUUCAUGUGAAAUGUACAUAUCAUCCAUGCAAUCAUGCUUAUAUCUCCAUGAGAUGCAUUCAUUAAGGCAAUUCAUGUUCCAUGCCAUAUGCACAUACAUGCGCAUGAUCCAUAUCACCCAUACAAUCAUAUAUAUAUUUUCAUGAGAUACAUUCAAUGCCUUCAUGAUCGCAUUCUCAAUAUCAUAUAGUAUCAACUCAAUUUCAUAGGCAAUUAUAUCCCAUGCUAUAUGCACACACACAUGUGCAUGAUUCAAUUCCCAUUUUGAUAUUCAAAAGGAUCUCAUCUUUCUCCUAGGGACUAGUGUUUGCAUCCCUCAUAUAUCGCUCGCACCCAACCUAGCAUCGCAAGGAACCUCCGGCACACACCUUUGGGCAUUCGGCACACACCUCCGGGCAUCUCGCAUCCCAUCUGGCAUCGUGAGGAAUCGUCGGGGCUCGCCAUGAAAAUGGUUACCCUUGCCUUCCGGAAUUACGUACUGACAUACUACCAAGCAUCCCCUGGAAUUACGUACUGAUAUACCACCGGGCAUCUCGAAACUCCCGAGGACAUCCGGCACACACCUCCGAGUAUCCGUCACACACACUCCAGGCAUCCCGACACUCCUGGGGCAUCGUCGGCUCACACCUCUGACGGUAUCAUUAACAUCACAAUGUAUAUUCACAUAUAUGUCUUACUUUCAACAUAGCAUUUGAUGCAAUAAUGUCAAAGGUCUAAACCAGCUUUUUAAUGUUACAUGACAUGCUAAAUGUUACCACAUAUGCAGUACACAUAACCACCCAAGAUAUCACGUCUCCUAGAGCAAUUCAUUUGUUCUUGAAAUAAAACAAUUUUCAGACAAAAUAGAAUGCACUCCUUUAAUUAAAAUUCUGGAAAAAUUAGUAAACGAUCUCAAUAAAUUCUGAAAAUUUAACAUGUUAUAAACAAGAUCUAGAUAAAAAGGUUUCAUGAAGAACACCAUGUCAAAAGAGCUUCGUACGAGCCGCUACAGUCCAUGCAUUACAGCCUUAAAAUCUCAAACAUCACCAUUGCACAGUUCUGGAAAUAACUUUGAUUAAGUCAUUAAAUGAACUCCUAAAAUUCUGAGAUUUUAAUAUGUUAUAGUUGAGACCUAGAGGUAAAAGUCCCAUUAAUAAAUAGAAGUCUAAUUAAUUCUGGAUUAAAAGAUAUGAUUAUUACAACUCACCCUGACCCUCGGCUCAAUCUCUAGAUUUAAUCCCUUUCAAAGAAAAAUCAUUUCUCGAAUCAAUAAUGGUCCGUUUAUUCUCAAAUUUCAGUAUGUUGUUCCUCAAGAUGUUAUCUACAACUAUUAUCAAGGAUACGAGAUCAAAUUCGGACGGGAUAAUUUCACAAAAUUCACAGAAUCGCAAGGGAUCGACAUAACAGUUUUCCAGAUUCUAGUAUUUUUGAAAAAAAAAGGUUUCACCAACAAAUACUUGUCCGUUUCCCCUCAAAUUUUGAUAUGUUAAUAUUCACGAAGUCCUAUACAACUUUUAUCAAGAACACAAAGUGAGGUUCCGGCUAGAAAAUUGCCUUACAGCUCACGAAAUCACCAAAGGUCAAUAUAACAAUUUCCAGAUCUAGUUUCUUCAAAGAAAAAUCAUUUCACCGACCAAUACUUAUAUUUUUCAUCCCAAAUUUUAGUAUGUUACUCCUUAAGAUGUCAUCUAAAACUUUCAUCAAGAAGUCAAAGUGAGAUUCCAACUAUAAAAUUGCAUGCAGCUCACGAAAUCACCAAAGGUCGGACUGUUUUUCCAGAAAACAGAUUACUAGACUAAGGCACUACUCCUAUAACUUCGAAAAUUCUCACCUCUACCACCUCCGAAAUUCACCAUACAACACAUACAAUCACAGCAAGCAAAGUGUAAAUCAAAGGACUCUACUUGCCUUAGAUCCGACGAAAUCAAGCAAGCAACGGCAACUCGGGGACUUCGAGCACAACACGGUCGACAGCGAAGCUAGGCACAUGCACGGCGGGGCGGUCCUCUUCUCCCUUCGCCGAAGCACCCACACAAACAACCCUCUCUCCCUCGGCUUUUCUCUCUUCCUCUCUUUCUCUAUUUCUCUCCUUCUCUCUCGAAUUCUCCCUCUCUCGCACGAACACUCCCCUUGUGCAAUCCACCCCUUCUCUCUCCCUUUUUCUUCCUUUCACCCUCAUGAUUACUAGUAAUCAUGAGGUUUGCAUGGCAAUGGACACUUGGUAAGUUCCUCUUGCCACUCGUUUCAUCUCCCUCGUCACUUGUUAUUUUUUUCUCAUGCAAAUUGAUGGGCUUUAUUCGGGCCGGGCUUGGGCCAUCCUUUUGGCCGACCAAAUGGGGAGAAAUGGUGGGGGAAUCGGUGGGGCUGUGGGCUGAUUUUUGGGCUGGUUCAGCCUUAAGAAAAAUCAACCCACUCCUUCUCCAAUUUUUCAUAUUUAAUCCCCACUUAUAUAAAUAACUAAUUACAAAAUUAUAUGGCCAUAAAAACUUUGUGACAUAAUUCAAUAAAAAUUCAACUUAUAAAGCGCAUGGCCAAGAAUAAAAAUUUUCCUAUUAAUUUGUCCCUUAGUACAAUCUUUGAUCACUCAUGGACAUAGGAUAUAUUUCCAACCAAGUAAUUGUUCAUUAAAUGCUCGACCUUAAUCCAUUGUAAUUCAUUGAUCUAAUGGCUAUAAUAUAAUCUAAUGGCGCUUCCAUCACCUAUUCAUGGUUCAUGGUAUAUUCAGGGGUUGUUAUGAAAUUUUUAGGAUGCCACAAAGUCUGAAGAACAACAGACUUUAAGCGAGUUCAGACUUUAGCAGUUAAAUAGAAUUAUGAACAAAAUAAAGAAAUUUAGGGAAGAGAAUAAGAACACAGAAUUUAUAGUAGUUCGACUUAGAUCAAGCAUACGUCCACUCUCCCACGCUAACAGCCUACUAGCUGAAUUCCACUAUGUGAUUAACAAGAUAUUACAACUUUGAGUACAAACACUUAGAGGUAGAUCACACUAUCUCACUAAGUCACUCUUUUGGUAUUUCUCUCAAGAUCACAAAUGUUUAAGCUCACGAAAGACAAGUGUAUGAACAAAGGUCGCUUAGAUUUUUGAAUUAUAAAUUCUACGCUCAAUCUCUUACUUGCUCAUCGGUCAUUGGUCUCCUUAAAUACUCCUCCACUUCCAAUCUACCCAUUGGACAGAUUUGUAUCUAAAAGAUUUGUUAGCCGUUGAGUAAUAGAAUUAGAAUCCCAAAUUGAUUUUGAUCACUCAUACAAACAGAAUCUUGGUUUCCAUAAGUAGAGCUUCUUCGUAUAGAAAGUUCUUGUCUUCAAUAUCCAAUUGUCAAUCAAUUAGAUUGAGUCAAUCAAAUCUAUCUUGAUGUAGAAUCCAAACCAAAUUCCUAGCCGUUAUAUGUUUGGAGCUUGUGUUACAUUCUGUCUCGUUCUGGAUGUAAAUCUGAGAACAAUAGACUUUACAAUCUGAGUUUGAGUGCAAUAGACUUUAUAGUCUCGAUGUAAGUUUGAACAUAUUUAGCUUCAACAUAAAGUCUGUCUGCUGGUUCUUCCAAUUAUAGACUUUGACAAUAUCCUUUAUAUAUUCUAUCAUUCACAUAGUUUGUUACUUAACAAUUAAACACGUUGGUAGCCUUUGAUUUAUUUUGUCAUCUUCAAAACAUCAUAAGGAAUUUCCUUAACACCUUUCAAGUACCUCAACACCCUCUUUGUAGCUACCAUAUGCAACUCACUUGCACAAUUGAGAAAUCUAGACAAGACACUUACAGGAAACAUGAUGUCUGGCCUAGUUGUAGUGAGAUACAUAAGACAGUCAAUCAAACUUCUAUAUACACUUUCAUCUGCAGGUUCUGAUCCAUCCUUCUUUUGAAGUUUUUCCUUAUGACCCAUUGGAGUACUCACACUCUUGUACUCCUCCAUGUUGAAUCUCCUUAGGAUCUCCUUCAAGUACUUCUUCUGAUAGAUUAAAAGUUCAUUUUGAUUCUACCUAACCUCCAUUCCUAGAAAAUACGACAUCUCACCAAGAUCAGUCUUUUCGAACAUCUUCAUCAUCUCUUGCUUAAAUGCAGUAAUCUGAGCACUAUNNNNNNNNNNNNNNNNNNNNNNNNNNNNNNNNNNNNNNNNNNNNNNNNNNNNNNNNNNNNNNNNNNNNNNNNNNNNNNNNNNNNNNNNNNNNNNNNNNNNNNNNNNNNNNNNNNNNNNNNNNNNNNNNNNNNNNNNNNNNNNNNNNNNNNNNNNNNNNNNNNNNNNNNNNNNNNNNNNNNNNNNNNNNNNNNNNNNNNNNNNNNNNNNNNNNNNNNNNNNNNNNNNNNNNNNNNNNNNNNNNNNNNNNNNNNNNNNNNNNNNNNNNNNNNNNNNNNNNNNNNNNNNNNNNNNNNNNNNNNNNNNNNNNNNNNNNNNNNNNNNNNNNNNNNNNNNNNNNNNNNNNNNNNNNNNNNNNNNNNNNNNNNNNNNNNNNNNNNNNNNNNNNNNNNNNNNNNNNNNNNNNNNNNNNNNNNNNNNNNNNNNNNNNNNNNNNNNNNNNNNNNNNNNNNNNNNNNNNNNNNNNNNNNNNNNNNNNNNNNNNNNNNNNNNNNNNNNNNNNNNNNNNNNNNNNNNNNNNNNNNNNNNNNNNUUUUUUUCUAUCAUAGACAACUCUUCCUUCAUUGCAUUCAUCCACCUCUGAUCACUUUUAGCUUCCUCAUAACCUGCAGGUUCCAAAACACACACACUAUAUAUAUAUAUAUAUAUAUAUAUAUAUAUAUAUAUAUAUAUAUAUAUAUAUAUAUAUAUAUAUAUCAGUCAGAGAUCUGGUACCUCUAACUAGAACAUCAUCCACUAGCUCGUCAAGUUCCAGUGAGACCUCUUUGUGCUUGCCUUGUGGCUCAUUUGUCCAGUCCCAUUUCUCAUCUUCCAAGAAUUGAACAUCCCUACUAGUGAUCACCUUUCCUAUCUUUGGUUGAUAGAUCCUGUAAGCUGUUGACACUAAACUGUAGCCAACAAAGAUCCCAGGUUCAACUUUCUCUCCUAGCUUGUCUCUCUUAACCUGUGGAAUAUGAGAAAAACAUAAAUAGCCAAACACCUUCAAAUUUCUUAGAAUUGGCUUGACAUCAAACCAAGCUUCAAAGGGUGUCUUCUUCUCCAAUACCCUUGUAGGUAGUCUAUUCAGCAAAAAAACUACUGUGUUUGUUGCUUCUACCCAAAACUCUUUCGGUAGAUUCUUCUCAUACAGCAGGCAACUUGUCAUCUCCAUAAUGGUUCUAUUCUUCCUCUCACUAACUCCAUUUUGCUAUGAAGAGUAAUGAGCAGUAAGCUGAUACUCAAUUCCAGCCUCUUUACAGAAAGAGUUAAACAUAUGUGAAGUGUAUUCUGUUCCAUUAUCAGAUUUGAUGACCUAAAUCUUGCAACCACUUUGAUUCUCAACCCAUCUCUUAAACUUCAGAAAUACCUCAGCAACUUCUGACUUUUGCUUCAUAAAGUAAAUUUAGCACAUUCUAGUGUAAUCAUCAAUGAAAAUAAUGAAAUACUUACUGCCAUUAAGUGAAUGAGUCACUUAUGGACCACAUAGAUCUGUAUGAAUCAACUACAGCUUCUCUGUAGCUCUCCAAGUGGAUUCCUUGAAGGGAAGUCUUGUCUGCUUGUCUAGCAAACAAGCUUUGCACCUUGUGAUAUGCUCCUCUGGGCUAGGUAACCCAGUUGCCAUUUCAUUCCUCUGCAUGAACAUCACACCUUUGUGAUGAAAGUGCCCUAAUCUCUUGUGCCAUAUUUCUAAAUCAUUGGCCUAACACUUGAAUGUCAUAUGCUCCUUCUCAAGAUGAUUCAAAGAAAAAAUCUUCUGUGAGUCAAAGAUCAAACACUUUUCCUCUUCAAAUAUCACCUUAAAUCCUUUUUUCUACCAACUACCCCACACUCAGCAAAUUCUUAUCAAUCUCAGGCACAUACAUCACAUCAAAAACUAGCUUAGUUCCAGCACGACUCUCCAUUGCUUCAGUCUCUUUACCAUUCACUUCUAAGUACUCCCCAUUCUCAAUCCUCACUCUUGACUUCAAUGACUUGUCAAGGUCUAUAAAUAGCUUUUCAUCACUUGUCAUGUGGUUUGUGCAAACACUAUCAACAAGCCAACUGUCACUUGGAGUACUAGAGGAGAAACAAGAGGCAACAAACAAUUGAUCUACCUCUUGUUGGACUGCAACAUGUACCUCACCUUGCUGCUGAUCUCUCUUCUCUUUGCAAAACUUCUCAAUGUGUCUAAGCUUAUGACAUUUUCUACACCUUACAUUUGGCCUCUUCCAACACUUAAAGUGUGGAUGAUUCCUUUUUCCACAAUGCUAACACAAGGAAUAUCUUCCCCAAUUGUUCUUGGAGUUGCCCGCAUUGUUCUCUCCUACAACAGCUUAUAAACCACUACUGCCAUUUCCUUUCUUCCCUUUCCACUUUUUUACUUUUCCUCAUACAUUUUGUUGUUCUUUGGCUAGCAGAAUUCUUUUCGUACUUCCUUCCAACCUCAUUAACCUCAUUCGCUCUUGUGCUUGCAGAGCACUUAGCAAUUCUAUUAACUUGAUCUAAGACAAAUCCUUGGUAUUCUCCAAAGAGGCAAUGGUUGCCUCAAAUCUUUCAAGCACGAAGACAAGAAUCUUCUGCACUAGCCUAUUAUCAAAAGAGGUCAGUGCCUAGAAACUCUUGCCUGAUUUGCAAUGCUUAUCAACUUAUUAGAAUACUCCUUAAUUGUCUCAGACUCCUUCAUCUGCAUCUCUCGAAUUUUGUGAUCAGAAUAGCCCAUUCAUUCUUUAGAUCCUCUCAUCUUCUUGAUACUUAGCUUUGAGGAAGUCCNNNNNNNNNNNNNNNNNNNNNNNNNNNNNNNNNNNNNNNNNNNNNNNNNNNNNNNNNNNNNNNNNNNNNNNNNNNNNNNNNNNNNNNNNNNNNNNNNNNNNNNNNNNNNNNNNNNNNNNNNNNNNAUGGUUGGAUUGUCAGGAAUGGGAGCAACUUCAUAAUCUUGUUCUACAGCUUCCCAAAAAUCACAAUCCUCUAGAUAGGCUCGCAUUCUCACUGCCCAAGCUUGAUAAUUUUCUCCAUCAAAUGCUAGUGGAGCCAUUGCUAAGAAACCACUCGAUCCUGCAUCCAUCUUGCUUUUAGCUUGUAUGGAUGCAGACACACCUCUCAAUCAAUCUCACAAGUCACUCACAGCCCCUUAGAUCAAGAAAGCUCUUAUACUAGUAUUGUUUUCGAAAGAACGGAGAAGGAGUUGACAGCAAAAGCUAUGUAUAUUAUUCAAAAAACUAAAAAAAUGCUUAAAUACAUACUAAAACUUAACCAUAAACCCACGUUGCCCACUAACAGCUUGCUUGGUCCACAAAACCAGCAACAAACUAAAACGCCAGCUAACUACUCCUACAAGAUAAGAUUGACCAAAUAAAACAACAAUUAACUAACUCCUAGAAUACUAGACAUCAACAAACUGACUAAACAAAACUAAGAAAAAACAGAUGGUGCCGUCUUGAUACAUCAACAAAGUACCAUCUCCUCUUUUUCACUCUCGCAUCUGUCAUUUAAGCUGCUUCCUUUGAGAACUUGGACUGCCUCCAACAUUGUGGGUCGUUUUGUUGGUGACUCUUGGACGCACAAGAGAGCCAGUUUGACUAAUUUCUCGGCCUCUUUCUCAUCGUAGUCUCCCCUCAUGUUCGGAUCGAUCAGACAUCCCAACUCGUUAUGUUCCACAAUAACUUUUACCGACUUAAAAUCGUUGAUUCCUUUUCUGGCUCCAUGCUGCCGAAAACCAGGAACACUCGGACCAGAGAUGAGCUCGAGGAGCACCACCCCAAAUGCGAAGACAUCAUUCUUUACCGAGAACAUCCCAUGUAAUGCGUACUCCGGAGGUAUAAAUCCAUGUGUACCACAUAUUCGAUGGGUUCUGUACAACUCUGUUGAUCUUUCCAGAGCAGCCAUCUGGUGUGGUGCCCUGGCGCUUUCCAACUUCUGGAUCUGCUGGUUCCAAUCUUCAUGAUUCAUCAAUUUUGCCAAGCCGAAGUCCGCAAUGAGAGAUUCGAAGUUCUCAUCCAACAAAAUGUUCGAAGGCUUUAUGUCGUGGUGAAUUAUCUGAAGACUGCAAUCCUCGUGAAGAUACGAGAGCCCUCUCGCCACUCCUAAGGCAAUGUGCAUCCGGGUAGGCCAAUCGAGAGGGGGUUGCAAUGCAGAACACUCCCUCAAAUGGGAAUCCACAGUUCCUUUGACCGCCAAUGGAUAUACCAACAGGUGCUCCACCGGUUCUGUGCUUGCCUUUCCUUUCUUGACAGGUUUUUGUGGUUCCGUUGAAUCGCAAAAGCCGAGUAGUUGGAUCAGAUUCCGGUGCCUGGCCAUACUCCCAACCUCCACUUCAGCACGAGUCUCCACUUCAGCAUGGCCGUAUAGUUGGGUACAUUUUUUUAUUGCCACGACAGAUCCAUCAAGCAAAAUUCCUCUGUAGACCUUACCAAACCCACCUUCUCCGACAACGUUCUCUUCGCUGAAAUUGCCAGACGCGACUUUCAGCUCCCGGUACGUAAAAUUGCGAAGCUGUACCUGAGGCCGAAGUAAUUGGAGAUUCGAGUGGUCGGAUGAUGUCUUCGGCCUCCAGCAAGAAAACUUGACGGCAGGGGCAGUGAACCCGCGCGAAACGCCUUCAGCGGCUCUGCCCACGACUGCCAUGGCUCGGGUUAAGCUGUUGCCAAGUGGAAGGCAAACUUUGGACGACGGAGGAGGACUAGGUGGCGAAAACAGAGUGGAAACAUCGACAUCCUGGGCGAGAUCGAUUGUGUGAAAUUUGAAAACCAUCUUUCUGAUGCAAUCAGUAUUGCAGGUAUGUGCCUGUAUGGUUCACGCUCUGAAAGGGUGAAGAUUUGAUUUAAAUGGAGCCUAUGCCCCUGGUUUCGCGUCGACUGGGUUGUUUCUAGGUAACGUAUUGGAAGGUGCCUGCUGCUGAACUUAUUAGCCCCGGAAGCAUCCCUGAAAUUUAAUUUUCUCCGCAUUGUAACCUAUGAAGCAUGGACACGUCAUCCAUGCUUCCGUGUCGUGUUACGUGACACGUGGUCAACUUUUCUCCACAUUUGUUGACAUGCGUGUCCGGAAGACAAUGGAGGAUUGAGGCGAGGACGAGGGAGCAGAGAUGAGGCCGCGAGCAAUGGCAAGCCUGCAAUGGCAACGGCUUGCCUGCGACGGCGAGAGGGCCUGCUGCGAUGGAGGGCUGGCGAGUGGCGACGAGGCUGAGGCUGCGGCUACGAAGGAGGAAGGCUGGAGGAGAGGCAGUGAGGCGAUUGAAAGAGAGAUCGUGUGAAAAGGACGAGGAGGUCGUGGUUAGCAGCUGAUGGGGGAGGGAGGGGGAAGAAAGGGAAAGAACCGGAGGCGGAGACGAAGGAGGGAGAGAGAAAUAACAGGUGAGGUAAGUGAUGAGUGGGGGUGACUGUGAGAGGGGGGCCGGGGGCAGAGAAACAACACAGGUGAGGUGACUGGUGAGAUGACUGAUGAGUGGGGGGUGGGGGCAAUGGGGGGUGACGUGAGGGCUGAGGGAAAGGGAGGAAGAGAGAGACCCCACGCCGGGUCAGAAUCAUUUCCUAAGUCAAUUCAUCUAAAAAAUAGGCAUACUCACUCAAGAUCGAUUACUACCGUUGAUAAUCAUGAAAAAAUCAGUGAUAAUUAUUUUAUGUGUGGACGGAUUUUGGAUUAGAAUGAGUGAUUUCUUUUUAGAUGAAAAAAAAAGUUCAUGACAAAGUUGAGAUUGGACUUAAGGUUUAAGAUUUUUUUUUUUAAGGAAAUUAAAUCGUGGGGCUAUCUACGUCUUUAAAAAAAAAAUUUGAUCACAUUAACUUGUAUACAUUUUUCUGAAGGAUUCACAACAACCAAAUAAGAACUACAAGCUCCAUCAUGCCAAUACUUUUUCUCUAUAGAAUAAAACUUGAAAAAUCACAAAUUCUUGAUCAAUAAACAUCAUUUUUUUUUUUUUACAAAAUUAGGUCAUUCUCUUUUUGAAUAAAAAAUUGACGGCCCAAUGGAGUUUGGUUUUAAAUAAGCAUUAAGUAUUUCAAAAAAAAUUCACUUCAGUUAUAAGAUAUUUUGAAUUUUCAAAAAAAUAAAAACACAAUAGAUCUCAUGACUUUCAUAUCACUCUCACACAAUUUUUUUCAACCAUUUAAAUGUCAUAACUUAUAAAAAAAAAAAAGUAUUCACUUAAAUAUCAUAACUCAAUCGAUCACUUAAAUGCAAAAUUUCUUUUAAAACGUUUACCCAAGUGUUAAUUUAUUUUGUGUCAAAUAUCCAAGUGUUAAUUUACUCGUAACUUCCGAAGCAACUCUCGCUCCUGCAACUGCAACUCUCCGACCAUCUCCUGGAAGCGAGAGGUUUUCUUCCGUCUCCUUCCUCCAUCGCGCAUUUCGCAAUUCUAAUGCAUUCGAGCUUCCGAAGGAUCGCCUGCUCCGACGUCCGCCUCUCCCUGACCCGCCGCCGCCGCCGCGCCACCCGCAGGCCCAUCUCCACUUCAUCGCCGCCCCCGGACCCGGCGGAGCCCUUAACGCGGCCGCAGCUCAAAACCCUCCGUCCUCCUCGCCGCCCCAAGCCCUCCCGAUGCGGCUCCCCUGCCUCCGCCUCCUUCUUCUUUACUCAAGUCGGUGUCGAGGCGCUUCUCGCUCUCCGAAAUGGGCCGCGAGAUCGCUGAGGACCGGUUCGACGUCGCGGCGUGCUGCGUCGCGAUGGUGCCCUCGAGCAAGAAAGGUGGGCCCCUGGUCCUGCCCGGCUUGAAACUGAAGGUCUUCAUCGAGGCCCUCCGGAUGGUUCUGGAGGUCGUAUAUGACGAGAGGUUCGCGACUUUCGCUUACGGCGGGCAGGUCGGCAUGGGGCGCCACACGGCUGUGCGAUACUAGAAAACCUCGGUACAGAAUUCCAGCUGGUGGUUCACUGUGAAAUUCGACAGACAGAAGUUUGAUUGUGCACAUGUGAGCAAACUGUGUAAGGUCAUUGAAGAGAAAAUCGACGAUUCUCUUUCCAAUGAUUUGAUAAGGAGGCUGUUUGAGUGCCAAGCCGUGAGCAUUGAAUUGGGCGGCUGUUAUUUGGGGAGAGGGUUUCCUCGAGAGCGGCUUGUAUGCAAUUUUGAUUAACAUAUACUUCAAUGGACUCGACAAGGAAAUUCAGGAUUCGCCAAGCCCGAAUGCGCAUGUCCAGACAAGCGUCUUCGUUAUAAUAGUUUGCAAAAACCUUAUGAACACAUUAAUUAUCUUUACCAAUUAAUCGAGCAGUCUGUUAUCAGUAACAAGCAUCAAAGACCACAAAUCUUCACGAAAGAUGUGAAAUAUGCAUACAUCAAAAUAUGCAGAGACAAUGACGGUGACUUUAAUUGGGUCCCUCUACACUGAAGUUAUAAGCGUUCCCUUCAACCAUCCUGACCACUCGCGACAUUAUCGUGGCGUCUCCAUGGCGACCUCUCUGUUCACGCUAUAGCUUAAAUUUAAUCAACGUCAGCACCUCUUCUUCCGCGUACUUCCCUUGCAAAGAGCGCUCAAUUAAACACAUCAACAGUCCAAUCUGAGAGCCACUCGGUACUUCUCAUCCAACAGAACAUUCGAAGCUUUAAUAUCUCAAGAUGAUCUUGGGAUGCAGUCUUCAUGCAACCCUCAUCCUUACUGACCAUUCUAGGGAGAUCCUUAGGUCUCACGGAGGUCCGAGUCUAUAUAACAGAACAUAUUCUAGAAAGGUUGUGGCCUCCCCCUAUCACUGCCCUCCUUAGAUACCGAUUAUUCUUCAAGCGUCUCUCGAUGUGGGACUUUAGGAGGUCGCGCGCAUUAAGUGCACUCAACCCACAACCUCCCUCCCCUGGUUUCUUCUCCUCUUUUUUCCAUCUGUUUAUCUGUUUGUCGUCUCGCAGCUUAGCUUGGGGCGCUUGUUAGUGUUUUCGUUUGCAGGUUCUUUGCGUUUAACAGAGAAUGCAACUUCUCCUGAAUGUAAAAGUGAACGAUGCUUUGCUGUUGCAGACCCAUAGUCUUUGUCUUUUUUGAGUAGAGGAGAGAUGCAUUAAAUGGCUGAUUGUCAAUGGCUGCCGAUUGGGCUCGGUAUAACCCAACACCGUUUUCAAGCCCACUUGAGAGGGAGAGGGGGAGGGAGGGAGGAUACAUAUUAUUAUUUUUAUGAGACUCUCCACUUUUAUCUUCUCAUUUUCAAAUCAACCUUUCUACUAGGUGUCAGAACGAGGAUUGUAGGAGGAGACAUGCCACUUCCUCCCUCCCUUCCUCCUCCUUUUUUUCCCUUUUUUUUUUUUUGCUAUUCCAUAUCUAUUUUAACUUUACUUUUCAAAGUAUCAAUAAAGGCAGAAAUUUUGAGCCAAAUAUAAAGUUAUUUAUAGGUAUUCUAGUGAUCAAAAGUUCGUAUUUGCAAGUGUUUGUAUUCAUUCAGAACAAGUACCAUUGAACAAAGAUAUUGACCAAUUGAAUGGGUUAAAUCAAAUUAGUAUUUGUCCAUAUUAAAUUAAAAGUUGAACAGUUUUAUAAUUCCUUAUUUUGUCAGACAGACCUCAAAAUUUUAAAUUGAAAAAUAUUAUUAAUAUAUCUUUAUAUGAAAUCCUCAACUCCAACAAAUGUUGGGUUGAUAAUAUUGCUUGGGUUACCAAACAUCUUGCUGACAAUAGUUUCCACCAAUCCAUGGCUCACUUUACUUUUGGAGCUUUAUGCUAUCUUAUUUGGAAGGAACGGAAUGAGAUUAUCUUUUGCAACCGCUCCCUUUUCCCUUCCGGCGUUGAAGAUAUUUCUUUAUAAGGCAAUUAAGCAUAAAGCCUUGUCCUUCAAUCACAUCCCAAACACUCCACGGAAUAGAAGACUGCAACAAAGUUGGGAAUUGCCAUCAUCAAUUUUUGAUUGAUUGUGUUCUUCCCCUUCUUGUUGUUAUUUUCGCCUCCUAGUAGCUAUUUGCCUCUUUUGUUUUAUUGUGGUACCAAAGCACCCCUACACUCUCUUGACUCCUUGUCUUUUGAGUGUUUGUUUUGUUAGUACCAAGCUUCCUCUCUUUGUAUAUUCAUUUGGUAAAAUCUAUAUUAUACUUACCUUUAUCAAAUAAAUUAAAAAAAAAAUCCUCAACUCCAAGCCUUACAUAAGUCAGCUUUGGCAAAAACAAUGGAGGCUGGACUUCUCUUUGUGGGUGAGAAAUGAAAGAAGAAGAGCUGAAGAAAGAAAGAUGGUUGUCCCAAGUAUGUCUUAGCUUGGGUUUUACAGUUCCUUGUUUUUCCAUAUAUAAUCAUUUGCUUGUGCUACUUUAUCAAGCAAAAGAGUUGCAAAAGAUAAACAAUGUGAUUUGUGGUGUACUAUAUAAUAUACUUAUGUGAUGCUCCUAGUACAUCAUGGCUAAUGCAUUUAUUAAAGUCUUUUCGUUUUUUAAGCAUGCAGAAGCGUGUACAAUUAAAUAAUAUUGAGGACAUAUAAAAAUUCGAAGGAACACACAUGGAUAUGCAAACCUGACAGUCUCGUUUUAUUUUUUAUUUAUAUAUGUUUUAGGUAAUGGAGUCGGGGUACAUUUGGGAUGAGCUAAAGAUACAACUGCUCCGUACCACACCCAAAAGUUCUAGCAGCCGUACCAUCCCGACUUGGAUACUAUGUAUGUACUAUGUCAUCUGUCUCCCACCUACAGUACGUCCAAAAUCUUAGCUUGGUCUUCCCAAAAUGCUACUAAUUUGAGAAAUAAGCAAACUACUAACUAGUCUAUACCACAUAAGUCAGUAACAGCACAUGCGAGGAAGUUUAAAUAUACAAGACAAGAGAUCAUUACGAUAUCAACUUACCUAAGAACCUUUCUCAAAAUCAUAAUAGCAAAUAUAAAACAUUUCCUCUGAAAACAAUAAUCCAAUAAAACUUGAAUGAAAUAUGAAAAUGCCAAUGAUCAUAUUUACUAUGAAUUAGCUACCACCAUCUUUCAGAGAACCUCAUUAUCGCCCGAGCAUCUCGCACCCAUCUAGCAUCGCGAGGACAUUUGGGGGAACCAUGUUACACCCUCAAGCAUCCAGAGGAACCCAAUUACCCUUCGGGCAUUCCUACUAUAACUCAGGGCAGCAUAGUCAUUGGGACUGAUGGUAUUCUCAAAUCACACACUCAUCCCAUUGUGCAAUAAUUCAAUCAUUCAAUUUAACAUGCCAUCCACCAUGCUAAUGCACAAGAAUCAAAUCAGUUUCAAAAUCUUAGUCCAAUGUAAAUAAGAGAAAUGGUACAAAAUAGUUGUUUAGCAGUGCCGGUUGAAUAAGAUAAGUUAUAAAAGGAGUUUAUUCAAAAUUCCAAAAUUGAUAGUAAAAGGGGCAAGUCACCAUAAAUCGCCAAGUAAAUCAGUUUCAAAAAUUACAAAAUUUUAACACAAUGUGGAUGAGACUCCGAGGAACGUUUUUAAUGUAUAACUCAAAACCCGGUUCAGCUUGUACGGGGUCCCAAUAAUUUUUUAUAUUUUAGGUCAAGACAGGGUAGAUUUCCAUGAUAAAAUAUUUGAAAUUGCGCAUUUCGAAAGCUUAAAUGAGUUCUAAAAAUCAUGGGAAAAUUACACGUUAUAAUUUAAGAUGUGGUCUAAAAAUUUCAUGAUAACAUUGUCCAAAUAUUUUGUUCAAAACUCUGUGGAAAUUAAAAAUCGAGUAAAGGUCAGUAAAAAUCCGAGAAAAUAGUUUCAAACCCGCUUCAAUUUUUCAAACAUAUUUUGAAUAUAUGAAGUCUGAAAAAUCCGAAAUUAAAGCAUGUUAUAAAACAAAGUAAACAUUUUGUGAAUAAAGCCUCACAAGAUUCAUACAACAAGAACCAAUAUAAAAUUGGCAAAAGUACGAUCUACUAAACCAAAAAUAGCUGUAUCCUCGGAUUCGCUCACGACUUAUGCUAUUUUAGCCCAAACCAGCACAAAUCCCAACAUCCAAUAUUUCAACAACACAUCAGUGAACUCAAUAAACCAUAAUUUCAACAAUGCUCGUAAUGUACGUUUUCCGAAAUCGUUGACUAUCAUGACUAUGUAUGAAAUCAACCGAGACGAUUAAAAUCUAAUGAAAUUGACCUUGACGUGCGGCAAUCAACUUACAUAACAUAAAAGGGAGGCAAUUUACUUGCCUCAAGUCCGUAGAAAUCUCUUGCGUUAGUUAGGAAGGAUGCGAGAACCUGAGUUACGAUUGGUCCUCCGGCGGUUUGAGACGAACCGAGAAACACGAACAGGAACAGCGCUGGUUGGCUGGUCUGGUUGAACGAGGGCGCAUCGCUGGCGAAGGUGGCGGCGAGUUGUGGUGUCGCGCGGCCAAGGGACUGAACGAAAAGGGCGGGAUGUGAGCGUGUCUGGGCGAUGCUAAAGGAUAAAUGAAGAAACAUGAGCUGGCUGGAUUUAAAUUUUUGGUUCUUCUCUCUUUCAACCGUCUUUGCAUGGUCUUGGUCAACAUUUUCAACUGGUGGCAGCCCCAAGGAGAUGACAGCUAGAGGGGAACGUGGCUUGGCCGGGUGAAUUUUCAUUUACCUCUUUCACUGCUUCAUGGGCGUGGUCAACAUUUGAUUGCCACGUUACUCCCACUCGUGGCAGCCCAAGGAGAAGCCGCCUGGGUGAGGUUACGUGGGUUUGGGGCUUAAGACUCGGCGGAAAUUUUGGUGCCUCGUCUUGCCAUAGUUGGCGGCCAAUUGAAGCGCCAAUUGGAGAAGACUCGGCCAGGCCGAGCGGUGCGGCAACGUGGUGGUGGUGCGGUGACAUGACGAUAAGGUGGCGUGGUGAUGACGGGGACAAGCUGAGGUGGCAAGCCCUUGUAGUGGUGCGGUCUGAUGAUGAGCUUGAUUAUAUGACGUGAACCAUUAAGCAUUUGAGGCUCACUAUCCCAUCGAGCGAAAAUCCAAAUGUCACAACUUAUAUCUCCAAUGACUAGGCUGGAAGACCCUGUGCACCUUAAUUAUAGUUUCGUAGUGACAACCUUACUCAAAUGUGUAGGAUUGGAGGGGGAGGGGGUGGGUGAUGCAUAACCAUCAAUCCCGAAAGAUCACUAUUUCAUCUAAGGAUGCUUAAUCACCGCUCCGAGAAUUCGGGGAUUAUUUGUUCGUGUUAUUUUUCUGGAAUUCAUGUGCAAUUGGUGACACAUGACUUUUGUUUGUAUUUUUGGCUAGGAAGAAAUUAUAGCAUGCGGUUCACUUUCAUUGAAAUGAAUGAUGAUCUUUUAAAAUCUAAAUUGAUGACGGUGAUGACAACAGCUAUUGACCAAACUCUAGAGAAAAGGGAAGCGCGUGUUUCUCGACUAGUGCAUGACAGCUGUGCUCGCUUCCAGGACAAGGGCGUCAUCUCGGUCCUGAUAGCACCUCUGGAUCAAGAUGAGAUGCAGAGUCGGCGAGGGUGCGUCCUGAUAGCUCCUCUGAAUCAAGAAGAGAUUCUCCUAGCGGAAAAGUAAGUAACAUCUCCGCUUUUUCACUCUCCCAUCUGUCAUUUAAGCUGCUUCCUUUGAGAAUUUGGACUGCCUCCGACAUUGUGGGUCGUUUUGUUGGUGACUCUUGGACGCACAAGAGAGCCAGUUUGACUAAUUUCUCAGCCUCUUUCUCAUCGUAGUCUCCCCUCAAGUGCGGAUCGAUCAGACAUCCCAACUUGUUAUGUUCCCCAAUGUCUUUCACCCCCGUAAAAUCACGGAAUCUUUUUCUGUCUAGAGGCUGCCCAAAAUCAAUCCUUGAACCAGAGAUGAGCUCGAGGAGUACCACCCCAAAUGCGAAGACAUCAUUCUUUGCUGAGAAAUAACCGUGCAUCAAGUACUCUGGAGGGAGAUAUGCAAAUGUACCACCUAUAUGAUUGGUACUGUAUAACUUUUCCGAUCUAUCCAGAGCAGCCAUCUGGUGCGGUGCCCUGGCGCUUUUCGACUCCUGGAUCUGCUGCUUCCAAUCUUCAUGGUUCACCAAUUUUGCCAUGCCGAAGUCCCCAAUGAGAGGUUCGAAGUUCUCAUCCAACAAAAUGUUCGAAGGCUUUAUGUCUCGGUGAAUUAUCUGAAGACUGCAAUCCUCGUGAAGAUACGAGAUCCCUCUCGCCACUCCUAAGGCAAUGUGCAUCCGGGUAGGCCAAUCGAGAGGGGGUUGCAAAGCAGAGCACUCCCUCAAGUGGGAAUCCAUAUUUCCGUUGACCGCCAAUGGAUAUACCAACAGUUACUCUACCGGUUGUGACCUUGCCUUUCUUUUCUUGACAGGUUUUUGCGGUUCCAUUGAAUCGCAAAAGCCGAGCAGUUGGAUCAGAUUCCGGUGCCUGGCCAUACUCCCAACCUGCACUUCAGCACAAGCUUGCACUUCAGCAUGGCCAGAUGCUCGGGAAUAUAUUUUUAUUGCCACCGCAGAUCCAUCAAGCAAAAUUCCUCUGUAGACCGUACCAAACCCACCUUCUCCCAAAACAUUCUCUUUGCUGAAAUUGCCAGUCGCGACUUUCAGCUCCUGGUAUGUAAAUUUUCGAAGCUGUACCUGGGGAUGAAGUAAUUGGAGAUUCGAGUCGUCGGAUGAUGUCUUUGGCCUCCAGCAAGAAACCUCGACGGCAGGGGCAGUGAACCCGCAAGAAACGCCUUCAGCGGCUCUGCCUGCGACAGCCAUGGUUCGGGUGAAGCUCUUGCCAAGUGGAAGGCAAAUGGUGGACGACGGAGGAGGAGUAGGCGGAGCAAACAGAGUGGAAACAUCGACAUCCUCGGUGAAGUCGAUGGUGUAAAAUUUGAAAACCAUCUUUCCGAUGCAAUCAGUAUUGCUGGUAUGUGUCUGUAUGGUUCACGUCUGAAAUGGUAGAAGAUUUGAUUUAAAUGGAGCCUAUGGCCCCGGUUUCACGUCAGCUGGGUUGUUUCUAGGUAACAUCCUGGGGGGUACCUGCUGCUGAACUUAUUAGCCCCGGAAGCAUCCCUGAAAUUUUCCUUUUCUCCGCGUUGUAACAAAGUCAAAACCAAAUCCUGUCGCGACUUAACGUGCAACGCGGUGAGGGGUGCGAGACGACGCUUACGCUUUGUCUGGUCCUACUAAGGAGACCCGGCGUGGGGUCAAAAUCAUUUCCUAAAUCGACUCAUCUGAAAAAUACGCAUACCGACUCACGAUUGAUUAUUAAUGUUGAUAAUCGUGAAAAAAUCAACAGUAAUUUUUCGAUGGGUGGAUGGAUUUGGGAUUAGAGUGAGUGAUUUCUUUUUAGAUGAAAAAAGUUCACAAUAAAAUUAAGGUUAGAUUAAAAGUUUGAAAUUUUUUUAGGAAAUUAGAUAAUGGGCUAUAUACAUCUUUUAAAAAAAAUGAUCAUGUUAACUUGUAUGCAUUUUUUGAAGGAUUCCAUUCACAGCAAUCAAAACAAGAAGAACUGCAAACCCCAUCGUGCCAAUACUUAUUCCCAUGACAUAUAGAAUAAAACUUGAAAAAUCCCAAAUUCUUGAUCAAUAAACAUUAAAUUUUUUGACAAAAUUAGAUCAUUCUUUUUAUGAUUGAAAAAUUGACGGCUUAAUGGGGUCUAGUUUUGAAUAAGCAUUAAGUAUUUCAAAAAAAUUUCACUUAGUUAUAAAAUACUGUGAAUGAUUCAUAUGACCCUCAUUUGAAUGUUACAUUUUUUUCAACUACUUAAUUGUCAUAACUUUUAAAAAAUAUUUACUUGAGUGUUAUAACUUUCGAUUGAUCACUUAAAUGUGAAAUUUUUAAAAAAAAGUUUACUCAAGUAUUAGAAAUUCAAAAUAGUAUAACAUUUAUGGAGAAUGUUUUUAAAAAGUUAUACGAUACUUAAAUGACUAGAAAAAAAGUCAUGGCCCCGGAGUUACAAAAAAAAAAUUAUGACAAGCAAGUGAUGGCGGGUAUACGUAUAAUACUUGCGAUCAAUGUGAUGUCCUUUUCCAAUAUUUUCAAUCAACAAAAAAAGAAGAGUUAAUUUACUCCUAACUUCCGAAGCAACUCUCGCCGUGCAACUGAAACUCUCCCACCAUCUCCUGGGAGUGAGAGGUUUUCUUCCGUCUCCUUCCUCCAUCGCGCAUUUCGCAAUUCUAAUGCAUUCGAGCUUUCGAAGGAUCGCCUCCUCCGACGUCCGCCUCUCCCUGACCCCCCGCCGCCGCGCCACCCGCAGGCCCAUCUCCACCUCAUCGCCGCCCCCGGACCCCGCGGAGCCCUUAACGCGGCCGCAGCUCAAAACCCUCGUCCUCGGCCGCUACGCCAAGAAUGGCAAGUUCUCCGGCCUCGCCCGCCACGUCCUGUCCUCCCCCUCCGUCCUCCUCGCCGCCUGCCGGAACCUCGCCGCCCCAAGCCCUCCCGACGCGGCUCCCCUGCCUCCGCCUCCGCCUCCGCCUUCCUCUGCUCUGCUCGACUCCGUGUCGAGGCGCUUCUCGCUCUCCGAAAUGGGCCGCGAGAUCGCCGAGGGCCGCUUCGACGUCGCGGCGUGCUGCGUCGCGAUGGCGCCCUCGAGAAAGAAAGGUGAGCCCCUGCUCCUGCCCGGCUUGAGACUGAAGGUCUUGAUCGAGGCCCUCAGGAUGGUUCUGGAGGUCGUAUAUGACGAGAGGUUCGCGACUUUCGCUUACGGCGGGCGUGUCGGCGUGGGGCGCCACACGGCUGUGCGAUACUUGAAAGCCUCUGUGCAGAAUCCCAGCUGGUGGUUCACUGUGACAUUCGACAGGCAGAAGUUUGACUGUGCACGUGUGAGCAAACUGUGUAAGGUCAUUGAAGAGAAAAUCGACGAUUCUCUUUUCGUUGAUUUGAUAAGGAGGCUGUUUGAGUGCCAAGUCGUGAGCAUUGAAUUGGGCGGGUGCUAUUUGGGGAGAGGGUUUCCUCAAGAGAGUGGCCUGUGUGCAAUUUUGAUUAACAUAUACUUCAAUGGACUCGACAAGGAAAUUCAGGAUUUAAGGCUUCAAAUGAAUAAAGAGAAUCUUAAGUUUGAGUCUAAUGAGAAUGUUUCGGAUUCAACAUCGAAUGUGUUUUACAAGCCCGUGAAGGUGUACGCAGUUAGGUACCUGGAUGAGAUGCUCUUUAUAACCUCAGGGUCAAAAAUUUUGACUCUGGAUUUGAAGAACAACAUUGUGAAAUAUAUAGAAGAGAAGCUGGAAUUGAAGGUAGAUAGAGUGAGAACUGCAAUUCACAGCCCUACGAUGGAAAAGAUUGAGUUCUUAGGGAUGGAACUUCAGGCAGUCCUGCCUUCUGUUUUGCAUCCCCCAAUGUCAGAAAAAGCCAUGAGGGCUAGGAAGAAGUACCUAAGGCAGAAGGAAGUGAAAGCUUUAGAAAUGAGAAAUGCUAGGGAAAGGAAUAGGAAGAAACUGGGAUUGAAGAUUUUGAGUCAUGUUUUCAAGAAGUUGAAGUGCACAAAUGGGUUCAAAUUUGACAUUCAAAUUGAGAAUGAGGUCAACGAGAUUUUCAGAACAUGGGCAGAUGAAGUGGUGCAGGACUUCUUAGGAUCUCUGGAGGAGCGGUAUAAUUGGCAUCGGGUGCUCUCAGCUGGAAAUUUCCUUUCUUUACAACGCAUAAGAGACCAAUUGCCACAGGAACUUGUCUUUGCUUAUGACAAGUUCCAAAAGGAAGUAGAUAAGCACUUGUCUCCGGUCAAAGCUAUGAAGGCAUUAAAGGAAGAAGAAAGGAGAGAAGAAGAAGAAAAGGAACAGAAGUAUGCAGAGAUGACAGUUCAUGAUUUGACGAGAUUGUGUAUUAGAGUUGAUGCACCCAUUGGAGUUGUUCGGAAGGCAGUUAAAAUGGCUGGAUUUACAAACAACAUGGGUCGGCCUAGACCAAUAAAGCUACUCAUUGCUCUAGACGAUGCUGAUAUCAUCAAAUGGUAUGCAGGUGUAGGGAAAAGAUGGCUUGACUAUUUCUGUUGCUGCCACAACUUCAAGAUGGUAAAAACAGUUGUAACUUAUCACCUGAGGUUCUCUUGCAUUUUAACUUUAGCAGAGAAGCAUGAAUCGACCAAACUUGAAGCAAUUAGGCAUUACUCCAAGGAUUUAAAAGUCUUGGAUGCAUGUGAAAAUGAAAUGUUCUACUUUCCCACAGAAAAAGAGGUUAAGAUGAUGGGAGAUAGAAACCUUUCAGAUCCAAAGCCUGUUGAUGGGGUUCUAACUUUGGUGCUGAUUAGAUUGGCUUUCGAUUGUAAGCCACUUCAUUCCUGUAUUGCACAUUUCUGUGACCGAACCGAUGUAGUUUUUUAUCGGAUACGAUUACUCCAAAACAGAUUAAAUGUAAACCCACUGAACGAGGAGAAGUGGAUCUCAGGGUUGGGUGUUAUCCAUGAGAGUUUGAAUCGCAAGUGCCUUCCUGUCUGUCCUGUCCAUAUAGAUGACUUGUACAUGGGAAAAAUCACACUUCAAAACAUUGAUGUUGGUUCAUUUGUGGAUGUGGAUGAUCUAUGAUUCUUUUGGUUGGUUCCCAGUUCCUGAGUGGUGUCAUGGUGGAUUGAGACCUUCUGAAUUGGGGCGAACACUGUGCACAGGUAAGUGCCCCACUUAAGCAUCAGUUCUCACUUGGGUUUGCUUAGAUGUCUAUUUUUUCUCUCUAACUAAUCUGCUUAUUCUUUCCAAAUGGGGUUGCCUGAAUUGUGCUCAAUAUGCAUCAACCACGGUAUAGUCUAGAUGUUAUGAGUGUUCUAGCCGCCACAUCAUGUGCUUGUUUUAUAGCUGGAUCCUUACUUUUUGUUGGCCAUUGACUUGGUUGUUGUUCCCAUAUAAAUGUGCCAGAUUGAAUAGAACACCAAAAGCAGUGUUUACUUUUAAUUCUACGCUUAUGUUGAUUAUUCUACUCAAUGCGGGCCCAGUUUCCUAGCUGUUGGAAAAUCUGAACUAAAACUACACAUAGCAUGUUUAAUCCGAUGGAGACGAGUGAUUGGGUGGACUGAUAGUCCAGCCAUAGAACUCAGUUUUGACCUCAAGCAUCUUACCCUUAAGGGUGAUUAUUUUGCUGCCUUCAAUAACACUGUACUGAGUAGAAUUUCUGAGGUGCACAGCAUCUGGCUAACUCUUUGUUUUCCUAAACAAGUUUAUUGGUUUUAGCUGUAUUGUCUGCAAGCACUACAACAUUUACAAAUGAUUUGUGUGCCUUCUUGCCUUUCUGUGAAAGUUUUUUUGUGUGCUCAUGCGCACAUACCUGCCAGCCUAGAUGUAAGCAUCCCUACUCCCUACUCCCUACUCCCUAGUCUCACCCCAUCCAAUGCCAGUAGGCCAAAUGCUGAGGAUAUCUUGCUUCUCUAAUUGCAAUACCAAGAUGCCUUUUCCUAAUGAUGGGAUUUGCACCUCUUACCUUAGAAUGUCAGGUGACCAACUGGAUAUGCCUUUGGUCUUGAAUUUAGACCGAGUCUUAUGUAUUAACUUCGUCAUUUCUCGCUGCAGAUUUCUUAUGACAAGUUGAAAAUAAGCAGUACGAUUUGUCCUACCUCAAACUGACCUGACAUCUUAGAUAUACUGAACUAGAGGAGAACCUUAAUCAUCAACCCAAUUUAGUGAGUGGUACACUCACAUGGGGAUGAUUAUGGGCACAGGGAAAGAAUUCAUCAUAAUUCAUGCUCAAAUAGUGUCGAUAUUCAUGAAACUUGACAUUAAAGAUCAUCAUUGCCACACUGCAAAGAAGAGGGAAGCAUUAGCUAGACUGCAACCAGAAAUGGGUGAGGGGUGUUGCUUAGAACAUCAUCAAAACUGAGUAUGUGCACUCUGUCUCCUAGUUAUUUUCUUUUUUCUUUGUUUCUUUGCUGGUUGCCUUUGAACAUCUCUUGCUUACCACCUUUGAUUUUUGUUUUGCAACCUAGAUCCUGAUGAUUUGCUGUUCAAGGUGAAGCCUAACUGUUUCCUAAGGUGGUAAUCUCUCCAAAGCUAAUUCUGUUAUUGAACAUUGCCUGUGGCAGAUGAUACAUUACAUUUGAUUCUGCGGCUAGCAGGAACUUUGACUGUCUCUGAUUUCUUGGUUGUAUUUGCCAAGGAACACAGAUGCAUGACAGAGCUUGUUUAUAAGUCGCUCAACCCUGAUGUCAGCCUUCUCUGUUUACUCUGCAAAGUGUAAUGAACAUAGAAAAUGAAGAAAGCAUUCUAAGAGGAUCAUCUCAGACCACAAAACACUUCUGGAGCAAGAUGAGAUGUCAAGUCAGAGACAAUGCCAUUAGAAUUAGGGUGGGUUUCCAGUCUCAGAGCCACAUCCUCUUUUGUUCCUCACCUAUCCUUCAUCCUUGCUGCUCCCUUCAAGAAUUUGGACUACCUCUGACAUGUUGGAUCAUUUCUUAGGAGGAAAUUGGGUGCAUAUCAGAGCCAGUUUGAUAAGCUUAUGAGCCUCGUUUUCACUGGAAUCACCCUGCAUACUUGUGUCCAUCAGCAGAUCCAACUAUAUAUCUUCCACAAGUUCUUCCACCCAGUCAAAUGAUGAAGCGAUCUUUCUCAUAAUCAGAGAAAGAUCAUGACGAGUAUAACCAGAGACAAACUAUAAAACCACCCACCAUAAGCAGAAGCAUUAGUCUUCACAGAUGUAUUCUGGAGCCACGUAGCCCGUAGUACCAUAUACAUAAUAAGUAGAGUGAGAAUCUUCAAAACAGUACGGAAGCAAACAGGUAUUCUCUUGGUUAUACUAUGUUGUAUUUUCAAGCUCACCAUCAAGACAUCAAACGGUAUCUUCGCACUUGAUGAAUUUCGCCAGACCAAAGUGUGGAAUGAGAGCCUCGAAUUCCUUGUCCAACAAAAUGUUUGAAGGCUUUAUGUCAUGAUGAAUUAUCUGGAUAUCACAAUUCUCAUUGAAGACAGCAAAGCCCUCCUGCUACUCCUUGUUCGAUGGGCAUCUGUGUUGGCCAGUUGAGAGAGGGCAGCAAUCCAACCUGUUGCCUGUGCUGCAGGUGCUUCCAUAAACUAUGAGCCAUUGUUCCAUAAGCCAAUAAAUGGAUAUACAAGGAAGACUUGCUAUUUUGUGUUCAUUUCUACAAGUUCCUGUGAUUAUGCUUCCUUUCAAAAGCCAAUUAUUUGGAGCAGAUUCCGAUGUAUGGUUGCUCUCUGGUCCUGUAAUUCUGCUCGAAACUGCGCAUGACAAAGCAGGAGGCUUGCAUGGUUCACAUCUUCUAACUGCCACCAAAGAUCCAUCAGCUAACUGGCCUUUAUAGACCUCAGCAUAUGCACCUCUGCCAAUCAAGGGUUCUUUUAGCUCUGUAAGAGAAGUUUUAGGAUUUAGUUCUUCAGCAAGGUUUGUGUGAAAACUGCAAGAGUUCCUUCUGAUUCCAUUAAGAAAUCUCAACUGUGGAGGUGGCACCGUUGGCAAAUCGUUCUGUGACUGCAAGAGCUCUAACGCAACCAUUCCUGAAUGCAAGGCAAAUUGUGGAUAGCAGAGAAGUAGGCUGAGAGAACAGUGUUGACACGGCAAUGUUUUCUUUGAGAUCGACAGUGGAGAACUUGAAAACCGUCUUUUUUACCACUCUCUAUCAAAAUGUGGAGUCGCCCUUUUUUAAUGUCUGGGAAUUGUAAUUUUGCGAAGGCCCUUUUUUCCUAUUUAAGAUUACACCCUCGGGGAACUGAUGUUCAGGAAGUAUUCUAGAAAGUAUUGGAUUGACAAUGAUGAGUUCCGCGUCCAUUGAAGUUCCAACUGAAGCAGUUGAGAUUCGAUGUGUAAUGCAAGGAGACGUGAGUGUAUUCAUCCAAAAAAUUAUCACCUUCAAUUGGAAGGCCAACACUGGAUGGACCAAGUCAUAUUUUCGAGGAAAAUUGGUCACAGAGGAGAGCAAUACAGAUGAGUUCUUCAGCAUCGUGUAAGUCCUAAUCACCAUCCGAUCCCACAUCUCUUAGACUUUCAACUUUUUAUGUACCCGAAGGCUUCAUCACCACUCUUGAGUCUUGAUCUUAAUGCAAGAUCGUUAGCCUUCUGCUAAUGCCAAAUCGAUCUUUGCUGGGGAGCUCAAUGAGGGUGUGAAUUGAAUUUUGAGAAGAUUCUUAGAAGCUCUUAACUGAGUCCAUUUCCUCCCGGUGAUGGAGCCACCAGUCAAUCCAUCGGUGAACGAAGUAUUUUAGGGAACAUCAGCAUAAGAAAACUGUCACAUACAAAGUUGUCAUCUGUCAUUGGAAUUUCUUUUGUAGUUUAGGGUGGUCUUCCAUGCUUAAAAUGCCUUCGGAUCAAAUCAAAGCCUCUGAAUCAUGAGUAGAUGCACGCGUACUAUCAUAGUAGGAAAGUCCUAGUCUCUGAGUUAGACGUUUGGAGUUCUUGAAUAUGCUAACUGAUCUGUCAUGGUCAAUCAGCAUCAGAACAAAAACCGGAAACAUGAACAAACAAGCGAGGAUUCUUUGUAUCUUGUAUGAUCGGUGGAGUCAACGUGCAAGAUCACACUACCCAACUUUUGCGGGACUACAUUCCUUUUAUGUUGCUUUUUCUAAGCUAAAUACAAGCUAAAAAUGACCACGGCCAUUCCUUUUACGUCCAUUUAGGCGGAAAUGUGAUCACUAUCUUUGAAACAACAUGAUAAAUUAUCUGUUGCAUGGUAGAAUCAGCAAUUGCUAAGUCUUGUUCAUUUAUCACUGUCCACGAUCAAAAUAGUCAGAAAGUUUGAUGCAACAAGCAAGAGACAAAUGCUGUAAAUGCCAAGCCCAAAUGCGAAUGUCCAGCCAAGCGUUUUGGUUAUAAUAGUCUGCAGAAACCCUAUGAAUACAUUGGUUAUCUUUACCAAUUAAUCGAGCACUCUGUUGUCAGUAACAAGCACCAAAGACCACAAAUCUUCCUGAAAAUGUGAAAUAUGCUUACGCCAAAAUAUGUAAACACUGACAGCAACUUCAAUCGGUUCAUUCUACACUGAAGUUAUAAGCGUUCCCUUCAACCAUCUGACCACUAGCGACGUAUCGGGGCGUCUCCAUGGCAACCUCUUCGUACACGCUAUAGCUAACUUAAUCAACUUCAGCAUCUCUUCUUCCACGUACUUCCCUUGCAAAGAGGAGUCAAUUAGCACAUCCAAAUUCCUUUCAUCAAAAGCACUUUUCACCCAUUCGAACACAUUAGUCAUUGGCAAGUCGAGCCAGAUCCGAAAUGCUCCUUCCCGUUAUCACUUCGAGAAGCAUGACCCCAUAUGCAUAUACAUCAGUCUUUGUCUUCCCGUGAUGAAGUACUCAGGAUCCAUAUGCCCAUGUGUUCCGGGCACAUUAAUUUCGAUGCAAAUUUAUUCGUAGUCCAUCAACACUGCCAGUCCAAAAUCUGAGAGAGCCACUCGGUAUUUCUCAUCCAAUAGAAUAUUCGAAGCUUCAAUGUCUCGAUGGAUGAUCUUGGGAUCGCAGUCUUCAUGCGAGUAAGCGAGCGCCUUGGCAACUCCGUUCGCAACCCUCAUCCUUACUGACCGUUCCAGGGUGGUCCCUCGAUCUAAAAGAUUUGACCGAGAUGAUCCCAAGUGAUUUGCUACGCUUCCACGAGGCGUAAACGCAUAAACUAGAAAUAGUUCUGUGGGUAUGAUGCAAAACACAAGCAGACCAAGCACUUUGCGGUGCUUGACUAUGCUGCUCACUUUCAGAUCCAGUCAGGAACCCUGCGAGGUUGCUUCCUCCCAAUCUCUUGACGGCUGCUAGAGAACCGUCCACUAAGCUUCCCCUAUAAACCGUGGAAAAUCAGCCCUUACCCAGAACAUGGGCAAAAUUAUUUGUCGUAAGUUGUACCUCACGCAGAGAAAACCUCUUGACUAGUCCUAGAUGUCUCUCCAGAUCCUCUUCAGAAGGCAUACAAUUACUUGAAGAAUUCCCCAGUUGCUUCUUCAAGACUCGCCGUCACCACAGAAGCUGGCUUGGUAGGGCCGGGCAUGAAGAAACAGAGGGACCUGCAUCUCCUUUCACGAUAGACCUUACAGAACUGCAACUUGCUUUGCCGGAGGACGGCGAUGAAGGAGCACUCGCUGGCAGCGACGAACCAAGGCGGGUAUUGAACAUGUCCUCUAUGUAACUGGAGCUUACUUUGAACACCAUUUGAAACCCAGAUAGAUAAGAGUCACUUUCGACUCCUCAGAGCUCUGAUGUGAGAAGCGCUUGAACUUGGUGGGAAAAGAUACGAGAAUGAGAAUGAGGUAGUUGUAUCAAAGUCUUUGAUCUAUCAUUCCAGGCUGAACUGAGGGAAUUACAACUGGGCAUGGCCAUGGAUCAUUCGUGUAGCCACCACAUUUCGGUUUGACUGUUUUUGCCCACUGAUCCCACUGGCUUUGGCAAAUUUUUCAAAGUAGAGACAUCACAACACAACAGACACCAUUUUUUAUUGAGAAGGUUGAAAGACUUUGACCUGAUAACAUUGACCAGCCACUGCUUAAUCAAGGUUGUGGUUUGAACUUGGAAGAGGUUGAACUUUUAUAAUUCCCAUUUAUGCACUCGACUCAGAUUCUGGAAAUUACUCCACAAUCAACUGAAAUCUCAAUAACCUCUGUGAAACAGCAGCCAAAGGGCAAAAAAUGAAGGGAGUCUGUAGACAGACUUGUGACCACUCCAGCUGAUGGGUCCAGUGACAGAUCGCAUUUAGGGAAACCCACCAGAGCCAAUAAGCACGCUCUGGUCAUGCGGACAUGAUUUGUCCAAAAGAUUGUCAUGGUUUUUAUUGGUACACUUAUGUUAUGAACUCAUUAUGAUUGGCAUUUGAAGGGCCCUUGCAAGUGAAGUUUCAAUCCCAAUUCUGAUGCUGCUAUUUCUUUUGAGUACUAGUGUUGCUUGGUUUUGGCCUGAAGGCUAGAGCCAGAUGAAGAAUUGGCUUGGCUGCAAAUACAGUUCUGUUCAUGCAAUUGGCUGAUUCUUAAUCUAAACAAACUUAAAAAGACAGUUCUCUAACCGUAGCUAGGAUUGGACACUUUUUUCUGUCUCAAGCGCAUGAUAUAUGCUGUGAAAUUAAUCAAGAAGUGGAAGACUGAUUGGCACAGACUAGUGCUGAUUAAUUUUUGCAUUUCUUGACACUGCUCCAUUGUUUGCAUGACAGAAACUGACACCGUUAUGAGGUGGACGUCCAAAUGGAGCUUGUGUUCUGUGAACCAGAAGGUCAGGUAAGAGAACACUUGAGUUUUGUUGUACUCAGGACAGAAACAUCUGAAGCAGAAGCGUUUUUUCAGAUUAACUUUGAUAGACAUUUCAGGGAAGCAAAAGAAGAAUCGGACACCAAUGAAGUCCUUAAUGUUCUGGCAUCUGAGAACAUUAAAGACAACUUGGUCGGGAAACUGAUUUAAUUUGCCUUCGCCUUUCCCUACAUUAGAUAAAAAGAAUAUGUAAACCAGAUGAAAAUGAAACGAAGUAUUCGUAGCUGUCGAAUUAUAAAGUUCAUUACAUGAAGAAAGUGUUGCUCUGGUCAGGCGCUACAACACUUAUGACAACGGCGGUUUCCUCUCUUACGUUAGAAAACCUAAAACUAGAAGAGGCCAAGAACUAUGGAAAUCGACCCCUACCUGGAAUGGAACUUGGGAGAACAGCAGAUGCUCUUCGGGAAGUUCUAUCUUCUUGAUCCAUCCACCUAAGUGUCCUUCAGGAACCCAGUGAUACACCUAUAACUAAAAGAUAAAAAUUAAAAAGAUUAGGGGAGUCUGUCAGACAGCCGUGCGACCAUCCCAACCGGAUCACUCCGGCUGAGAACGAUCCUCUACAGCUCAAAUGGAUCCAGCAGGACCCAACAGAGCCGUUAAUCACGCUCUGGAUACACGGCCAUGAUUCAUCCACCAGACUUUGGUUCCUGUCUCCUUAGGUCUCAAGGACACAGAGGUACGAGCCUAUAGAACAGAUCCUGUUCAAGUAAGGUCGUGGCCUAUCCUUCUCACUGCCCUUUUUAAAUACCGAUUAUUCCUCGAGUGCGCUCUCGAUGUGGGACUUUAGGAGGUCGUGCGCGUUAAGCGCACUCAUCCCACAACCUCCCUCCCCUGUUUCUUCUCUCUUUUUUUCCCCGUCUGCUUUUAUGUUUGUUGUGUCGCAGCUUAGCUAGGGGCGAUUUGCAGUGUUCUCAUUUGCAGGUUAUUUGCGUUCAACAGAGAACGUAACUUUUCCUGAGUGUAAAAGUGAACGAUGCUUUGCUGCGACAGACCCGAAGAGUCGUUUGUCUUUUUCGAGUAGGGGAGAGAUGCAUUGUACGGCUGAUAAUCAAUGGAUGCCGAUUGGGCUCGGUAUAAUCCAACACAGUUUUCAAGCCCACUUGAGAGAGAGAGAGAGAGAGAGAGAGAGAGAGGAGGAUACAGAUUAUUAUUUUUAUAAGACUCUUUACCUUUAUCUUGGAGGAUUGUAGGAGGAGACAUGUCACUUCCUCCCUCCUUUCCUCCUCUUUUUUUCUUUCCCUCUUUUUUUUACUAAUUCAUUUCGAUUUUAACUUUAUUUUUCCAAGUAUCAAUAAAAGAUGAAAAUUAUGAGCCAAUUAUAAAAUUAUUUACAAAUAUUUCAAGGCUCAAUAGCUCAUAUUUGCAAGUGUAAUUGUCCGAACGAAUUAGGUUAUGUAUUCAUUUUGAAUAAUUAAUUUUGAACAAAGAUAUUGGUCAACUAGAUAAGCUGAAUCAAAUUAGUAUUUAACAAUAUCAUAUUAAAAUUAGAUUAGUUUCAUAAUUUCCUUAUCUUAGGCCAUCCUCAACUAUCAUAUACUUUUCAUAAUCUUCUUUUCCUUUCAUGACUACAAAAAUAAGCAAUGUUGUUUUCCUUAUAUUUUAUAUUCUAAUUUAAUAUAUAUAUAUACAAAAGAAAUUGCUCAUAUGAUCACCAAAGAUCAAAGAAAUAAUUUCUCAUUUGAAAUUUUACAAAAAUAAAACAAAUGAGAGAAAUUAUGGUUUAUUUUGUAUCUAUGAAAACCAUAAAUAUUACAAAUAAUUUAAAGGAAUUGAUAUUAAGAAAAAUAUCCAAUCUUUCGAAUGUUAUGUGUGUAUACAUAUAUAAGUUUUGCAUCUAAAAGAAAUCAGCAAAUCUCUAUAAGUAAUUUAGAAUAAUUAAUUUCGAAGAAAGAUUCCCAUUUUUAAGUGUUAUGGAGGUAUAUAUUUCAUGGUUCAUUUUGUAUUUAUAUGAAAUCAUAAGAUCUCUACAAGUAACUAAAAAGAAGUAAUUGCAAGGGAAAGAUUCACGCUUCAAAUUAUCUUAUUAUGCAUCCAAACAUGGUAGUAAUCACUUCAUCUUAAUUCUUUUAGAAAAAAACAUUUAUAUACACUUCACAUCAUCUUACUUAGACCACUAACAAAGUAAAGCAUAAAAGUUGAGUACUAUUAGAAGAUAAUAUAAAUAUUUAUGAAAAAAAGUACUUUCAUUAUUGGUCAACCUUACAACAUUAGCCAACAAAAUUAUAUGCGAAGCACGGCUGACAAGACUAGUGAAAUUAAUGAAAAUGAAGAUAGUUGACGAUGAUGCAAAUCAUAAAUUCACACAAGUGAACAGAAUACAAAAUCUUAAUUACUUAUACGAUUAUCCAGCUUGAGAGUAAGAUAGUUUUAGUACUUUUUUUUGCUAUGAUUAUUGGCUUUUAAUCGAAAGGCCAAGCCUCCUCAAAUAUGGUGAUUCGGUCCCGUCUAAUCUAAUAUAUUGUCUGUAGUCAAAGUCGAAGCUGAAAAAAUAGCUGCUCUAAUGCUCUACCACAUGACACUUCAUUUUGCUUCCGAAACUACCAUGUAAAAUUUAUAUAUUCUAUUUAUAUUGAGUUUAAACUUAAAAAAGUAUAAACUAGAGAAAAGUAUUUUAAAUUAAACUCUCCAUUGACAUUUUUUUUUUCAAUGUAAUUUCUUAGACGUAUUUGUAAACAGCAAAAUUUAAGCCAUAAAAUGCUGCAUAUAUAUUUCAGUGCUUAAUUUUGAUUUGCAAGCAUAACUCUCCAAUCAAAUCAGGACAUGUAUACAAGGUAGAACAAUUAAACUUGAACGAGAAUAUCGAUCGAUUGGAUAAGCUAAAUCAAAUUAGCAUUAUCCACAUGAUUUUAACAAUUAAUUCAAUAUUGGUUGAAAAAACUAAAAUUUGGUCUAAUCUUUCUGGAGCAAUGGAAAUUUCGAAUAGUUGACCAUGAUCAUUUUGCACUAUUUGAAUAUAAUCUUUCUAGGAAGAGCUUUCGCCUUGCUUGUAUCGCAAUGUACAUGAAUAGACAAUCGAUAAUGGAAUGAUAAUAUACGAGAUGGAGCUUGGAUAGAGAAAGUGAACUCCACCAUAGUCCAAUGACCCAAAGGCCAUACUCUAAACCCAAAAAAUGUUUAAAUGUUUGAAAUGGACUUUGUGAUGCCCAAAUGCAGGUCCUAGUGGAAGAGAUCCUCUGAUAAUUGAGGGUGGUUUGAGUCUGACCCAAAAGAAAAAACAAAGAAACUUGAACUCAUUCCAAGAUUCAUCCGUUGCGUCUUGUACUAUCUUGAUGUUUGCAUUGGGCUCUUCUCGACCUUCCACUGAUAAAUGUACUGUCUUGAAACAUUGCGCAAGUCAGUUUUUAAGGAGAAAAACGUAUGUUGUGACACGUUCUUCUUGUGAUGGCCACAAAUGAAAACGUGCUCUCCUGAUGACCAAAAAAAAAAAAUUGUACAAUGGCCCAACACUCCAAUGCACUUAUAUGCAGUGUCGGUGGAAUAUAGGUUGGUCUUAAAACUUCAUGGGCAAUGAGUGGUCCAAAGACCAUCCAAUUGAUUGGCUCAUUUUGUAAUUCCCGACAGAUACAAGGCAUCGGCCCAGGAAGAGCAACGUCAACUCCUAAUAGAUUCACUGAACUUUAGGAGCCCAUGAUCAUCCCCUCUGCAUCUUCAAAACCCAGUAAACCAAUAAGACAGCAAAAGAAAGUGCUAAAAUUGGAUGAUGGAUCCACUCAAAUAGAUAAAAUUAUCUCCAACACAACAUGGUAAAAAAAUCUGUCACGGGAUUAAAAUCAACAAUCGCCAUCUCCGAAACAAGCCAAAAAUGACCACAACCACACAUUUUAUGUCCAUUUACCCAGAAAUGUUAUCACUAUCUCUGAAACAACACAAUAAAAGAUCUAUCGCACGGUUGAAAUUAGCAAUCGCUAACUCUUGUUCAUCCAUUGUUGUCCACCAUCAAAAUAGGCAGAAAGUUUGAUGCAACAAGCAAGACACACAUGCUGUAAAUGUCAAGCCUGAACUCGAAUGUUCAGACCAGCGUUUUGGUUAUGGUAGUUUGCACAAACCUUAUGCACAUAAGUUUCCCUUGGUUGUCUUUACCAAUUCAUCGAGCAGUCUGUUGUCAUUAACAAGGCAUCGAAGACCACAUAUCUUCACUAAAGAUGUGAAAUAUGCAUACACCAAAAUACGCACUGACACCGACACCUAGUUCAAUUGGGUCAUUCUACACUGAAGUUAUAAGCAUUCCCUUCAACCAUCCUCUCCACUUGCGACAUAUCAGGAUCCACAUGCCCACCUGUUCCGGCCACGUCACUUUGGACGCAAGUCUCUUCGUAGUUCAUCACCACUGCCAGUCCAAAAUCUGAGAGAGCCACUUGGUAUUUCUCAUCCAACAGUUCAUUCAAAGCUUUAAUAUCUCGAUGGAUGAUCUCGGGAUCGCAGUCUUCAUGCAAGUAAGCUAGCGCCUUGGCAACUCUGGUCGCAACCCUCAUCCUUACUGACCAUUCCAGGGUGGUCCCCCGAUCUAAAAGAUUUGACCAAGAUGAUCUCAAGUGAUGUGCUACGCUUCCUUGAGGCAUAAACGGAUAGACUAGAAAUAGUUCUGUAUGAUGCAAAACCCAAGCAGACCGAGCACAUUGCGGUGCUUGACUAUGCUGCUCACUUUCAGUUCUGUCAGGAACUCUGCGAGGUUGCUUCCUCCCAAUCUCUUGACGGCUACUAAAGAACCGUCCACUAAGCUUCCCUUAUAAACCGUAGAAAAUCCACCCUACCCAGAACACGAGCAAAAUUAUUCGUCAUAAUUUGCACCUCACGUAGAGAAAACCUCUUGGCUAGUCUUAGAUGACUCUGCAGAUCCUCUUGACAAGGUAUACAAUACCCCGGUUGCUUCUUCAGGACUUGCCGCCACCAAGGAAGCUUGCUUGGUGGGGCCAGGCACGAAGAAUCAGAGGGCGCUGCAUCACCUUUCACAAUAGCCCUCACAAACCUCAACUUGCUUUGCCAGAGGACAGCCACAGAGGAGGACUCGCUGGUGGCAACAAGCCCGGGCGGGUAUUGAACCUGUCUUCUAUGUAACUGGAGCCUAGCUUGAACAACAUUUGAAACCCAGAUAAGCAAGUGUCGCUUUGGACCUCUCAGAGUUCUGAUGCAAGAAUCGCUCGAUUGGUGGGAAAAGAUUACGAGAAUGAGAAUGAGGUAGUUGUAUCAAAGUCUUUGAUCCAUCAUUCCAGGCUGAACUGAGGGAAUUACUAAUGGCCAUGGCCACGGAUCAUCUACGUAGCUUCCACAUUUCAGUUCGACUGUUUUUGCCCACCAAUCCCACUCGUUUUGGCAAGUUUUUCAGAGUAUAGACAUCACAACACAAGAGACACCAUUUUUCAUUGAAAUGGUUGAAAGACUUUGAGCCGAUAACUUUAACCAGCCAUUGAUUAAUCAAAGGUUGUGGUUUGAACUUGGAAGUGGUUGAACUUCUAUAAUUCCCAUUUAUGCCUUCGACUCAGAUUCUGGAAAUUACUCUACAAUCAACCGUAAUCUCAAUAACCUCUGUGAAACAGCGGCCAAAGGGUUAAAUAUGAAGUCAGUCCGUCAGACAGACAUGUGACCACUCCAGCCAGAGACUCCAGCGGAGAUCAAUCCUCUUAUGGCUCUGAUGGGUCCAUACUGACCACGCUCCGAUCGUGAUGGUUUUAAUUGAUAUACUUAUGUUAUGAACUCGUUAUGAUUGGCUUUUAAAGGGCCCUCGCAAGUGAAGGUUUGGUCCCAAUUCUGAUGCUGCUGUUUCUUUUGAAUCUUUGAAUACUAGAGUUGCUUGGUUUUGGCCUGAAGGCUAGAUCCAGAUAAGAAGAAUUGGAUCCACGCUAAUACAGACAUGCUCAUACAAUUGGCAAAUGCUUAAUCUAAACAAUCUCAAAAAGACAAUAAUCAAACAGUUGAUAGGAUCGGACACUUUCUGCUGUCUUAAGCACAUGAUAUAUGCUGCGAAAUUAAUCAAGAAGUGGAAAGAUUGGCACAGACUAGUGCUGAUUAAUUCUUGCAUUUCUUGACACUGCUUCAGUGGACGUCCGAAUGGAGCUUGUGUUCUGUGAACCUGAAGGUCAGGUAAGAGAAUAUUUGAGUUUUGUUGUACUCAUGCCAGAAACAUCUGGAGCAGAAUCCUUUUUUCAGAUCAACUUUAAUAGGCAUUUCAAGGAAGCAAAAGAAGAAUCAGACAUCAUGAAGUCCUUAGUGUUCACUGUUCUGGCAUCCGAGAACAUUAAAGACAACUUGGUCGGGACACCGAUUUAAUUUGCCUUUGCCUUUCCCUACAUUCGAUAAAAUAUAUGUAGACCAGAUGAAAAAUGAAACAAAGUUGUUCGUAGCUGCCGAAUUAUAAAUUUUAAUUAUACAGAGAGAGUGUUGCACUUGUCCCGCACUACAACACAUGACAACAGCGAUUUUCCUCUCUUAAAUUGGAAAACAUAAAACUAGAAGGCGAAGAACUUUGGAAAAAUCCACCCCUACCUGGAACGGAACUCGGGAGAACAGUCACGAGUUCCACCUCACGAAGAGAAAACCUUUUUUGACUAGUCUUGCAUGAUUUUGCCGAUGCUCUUCAGGAAGUUCUAUCUUCUUGAGCCAUCCACCAGUGUCCUUUAUCAACUCAGUGAUUCACCUGUAACCAAAUAAAUAAAUAAAUAAAAAGAAAAAAAGAGGGGAGUCUGUCAGACAGCCGUGUGACCAUCCCAGCCCCAGUGGGCUGAGAACGAUCCUCUACAGCUCAAAUGGAUCCAAGCAGGACCCAGAAGAGCCGUUAAUCACGCUCUGGUUACACGGCCAUGGUUCAUCCACCAGACUUUGGUUCCUGUCUCCUUAGGUCUCAAGGACACAGAGGUACGAGCCUAUAGAACAGAUCCUGUUCAAGUAAGGUCGUGACCUACUCCCCUUGCUCCCCUGCUUAAAUACCGAUUGUUCUUCGAGAGCGCUAUCGAUGUGGGACUUUAGGAGGUCACGCGCAUAAAGCGCACUCAACCCACCACCUCCCUCCACCGGUUUCUUCUCUC
This 86608-nucleotide long non-coding RNA is filed under the name Eucalyptus grandis. RNAcentral describes it as "long non-coding RNA (EGRA_LNC006416)". The record is from RNAcentral. Lineage: Eukaryota; Viridiplantae; Streptophyta; Magnoliopsida; Myrtales; Myrtaceae.